UUUGUUGGCCUUUUUCAUUAGGUACUUUCGGAUUCCGAAUCUGUUCGGUGGCUAAACCAUGCUGUUGAAAAAAUAUGGCCUAUUUGUAUGGAACAGAUUGCAUCACAGAAGAUUCUGCUUCCCAUCAUACCUUGGUUCUUGGCUAAGUACAAACCUUGGACUGCUGUAUGAAUUUUGCUUCUCUUAGUACUACUGUUUUAUUGGCUAUCUCUGGAAAAUUAGUACAUAAAGAUUCUGAUUUAGUAAAAUGUUCAAUUUAGUGCAAGAAUUAUGAACAAUUUGUACUUUUUCAAGACUUGCAUUAGCUCCUAUGAAGUUACUUUCAAUGACCAUCAGAUGAUUAUUUUUUGAUCCAUUUUGGGUGUGUUUGACUGAAAUGCUGCUAUACCUGCAGAAGAAAGCUGUGGUUCAGCAUUUAUAUUUGGGAAGAAAUCCACCUUUGAUCACGGAGGUGAGAGUUCUUCGUGAAUGCUCUGAUGAUGACCACUUGGUAUACCUUCUCCCUAACUCCUCUCUGUUGGCUAUGAUUUCUUGUUUCAAUUUUGCGGAUGAUAGAACUUUCAAUUUCUCGUUGCAGGUACUGGAGUUGGGAAUGAAUUUUCUCACUGCUGAUGACAUGAGUGCGAUUCUUGCUGUGAAACUACGGAAAAGACUGGGAUUUGGGAUGUGGGCAAAGUUGCAUGUAACAGGCAUGCAUGUUGAAGGAAAGGUAUUAAUAAAAAUGGAAUGGUAUUAGCUAUAUUCAAUUUGCACAUUAAAAGAGUUUAUAGUCAGUCCUAAGCAGUUGUUAAUCGGGGGAAUUUGCAUGGCAUCGCAUAGUUCGGGCCCCAUCCUGCCCCCUGCAAAUUCUUAACUUUAUUGACUUACUGUAGUUAACUGGCAUUUACUCCGUGUUUCAGGUUUUGGUUGGGGUGAAGUUUAUCCGGAAGUGGCCUUUCAUUGGUCGUCUGCGAGUAUGCUUUGCUGAGCCUCCAUAUUUCCAGAUGACUGUGAAACCUGUCUUUACGCACGGACUUGAUGUUACGGAACUUCCAGGGAUUGCUGGAUGGCUUGUAAUAACUCUUUUUCCUGAAAUAAAUAUUCAACUUAUAUUUUAUGUUCUUUUCCUUCCUCUCAAUCUUAUUGUGUAUCCUCUUUUGCUUGCGUAGGACAAGCUUCUCUCGAUAGCAUUUGAGCAGACACUUGUUGAGGUUAGUUUUCCUUAACUCUAAUUGCCAUACCAUGGCAUAAAUUCCAUCUUAUAUUCCACAAAUGCAUAUCGUAGUUUUAGAAUGCACUUACAGGUUUAAGUUACCCGCAGCUUUCUUCUCUAUCGAACUUUAGCUCCUAAUAUUUGUUUAUUUUGCAGCCCAAUAUGCUGGUUGUGGAUGUUGAGAAGUUUGCUUCACCCAUUCCAGGUGAUUUUUUCAUUAUUUUCCAGUAUUUCGUUGCUCUUCUAUUUUACUUAUAGCUCUUUUCGGGUCAUUAACUCAUUACCAGUUCAGCUGUUUUCACGAGUCAAUUUUUCUCAUUCACCUUUUUGUUGGUUCUGUCCGACAGAAAAUUGGUUUUCUGUCGAUGAGAAGCAACCUAUUGCUCAUGCCAAGGUUGAAGUUAUUGAAGGAUCCGACAUGAAACCUUCAGAUUUAAAUGGUCAGUUUUAAAUCCAUUAUCUUACUUUUUCCAUCAUGUAAAAUGCAUGGUUUUAUGGUCAUUGAUUGGAUAUAAAAUUUUCAGGAUUGGCUGAUCCAUAUGUGAAAGGGGCACUUGGCCCGUAUAGAUUCAGGACUAAGACGCACAAGAAAACUUUGUCUCCGAAAUGGCACGAGGAAUUUAUGAUUCCCGUCUGCUCCUGGGAGGCUCCUAGCGUACUGAUUAUUGAAGUUCGUGACAAAGACCAUUUAUAUGAUGAUAGCCUUGGGUUUGUCUCUGAAUCUCUAAAAUAACCAUAUUGCCUAUUUUGCUUUUUGAGCGCCACUGCGUUUGCAGUUUCUGCACUAUGUCGACAACCCUUUCCAAUACGCAUUAGCUCAUCUUAGAAAUAGUGCCCUUUUAGAUGUUUUUGAUCCGUGAUAUAUGACACCACUAUUUGUUUUUCAAAUUCCUUAUGACUUGUUUAAGACUCUCAAAUGGUGUACUGAUUUGCUGUGUUUACAGUAAGUGCUCGGUAAAUAUUACUGAACUUCGGGGUGGCCAGAGACAUGACAUGUGGUUGCCUCUUCAAAAUAUUAAAAUGGGAAGACUGCAUCUCGCAAUAACUGUUCUCGAAGAGAACGCUAAGGUAAUUUAUUCUAUGAUCCACAAUAAACUUGGAAAGUUUUAAAUUGUAACCUUGCGUGCAAAUUAUGAUUAUGAGUUAAAAUGUGCCGAGAAACUUAAAAAGGAUGUGUGGACAGUUUACGCAGGUAAGUGAUGCUGCUGCAGUUGAUGCUUUUGACGAGGAAGCCUUAAACAAGGAAGAUAUACAAAACUCAUUUGCAAAUAUAGAUGUGAAUAAUGGUUUAUUCUCGCCUACGUCUUCAAAGAAAUCUCCAACCCUGCCGGAUCAUUUAGAACCGAUAGAUGUUGAAGGACAAGAAGAAACUGGGAUAUGGGUCCACCACCCCGGAAGUGAAGUGUCACAAACUUGGGAACCUAGGAAAGGGAAGGGUAGAAGCCUUGAGACACAGGUUCAUAAAGUGCCUAAUAGUUCAUUUGGCAGCACCAUCUCAGCUGCAUCUGGAUCCUCUAAAAGUGAUGACAGCAGCGCCGAGGAAAACCAUAAUCCUAAGAAUCGAGUCAACACAGUUAAGCAGGGUUUACGGAAGAUCGGUUCUGUAUUUCAUAGGAGUCCCAAGAACGAGGGUCACUCAGGCAACCUCGGAGAAGUUCCAUCUCCCCAUGAAAACCUCAGAGCAGUUAAUGACAAGGAGAUUUUGGUGAAGUUUGUAGUCGAUGACAAUCUUUCGGCUGAUAAGGUCUCAAACGAAGGAAGCUCGAGUCCUGGAGCAGAAAGCCCUGGAAAGAUGAAAGACAUGGCGAAGAGUAUUCUAAAACAUGCCGAGAAAUCUGCUCGUAGCAUAAAACAUGUUAUUUCUCGUAAAGGGUCGAAAAAAUCACGCAAUCUAUCAUCUGUGGAAGAACAAGAGUUUCCAAUAGAAUCUGACGACUCCUCCGAUGAUGAUGAAUCUUCGUCAUCCCCCGGAGUCAAGGGAAUACCAAUUCUUUCCAAUCACAUGCCCAGCUCCAGCGGCAACGACGAUACUCAGGAGCAUGUCAUUUUGACAGAUUCAAACUACCAGUUGAACCCUGAAACAAAUGUUAAGGAACAAGUAGAGAAAACAAGCGUUGAAGGACACAACAGCAUAGAUGACGAAGAUGUGAACAAUCCCAUUAAGCUCGGUAAUGGAACGAGCAACAUAGAUGACGAAGAUGUGAACGAUCCCAUUAAGCUCAGUAAUGGAACGAAUGAACCACCCUUGAAACCAAAUCCUUCGGAGAGUGGGAAAAAGGUAGAAGACACUCCUCAAACAGAUACCAAAGUUUAGGUUCAGUGUUUGUAUGUGCAUCCAUAAUAGAAGACUUUGAAAGAGUUUUGAAGAACAAUGGGUAUGGUCCAGCAAUAUAGAGUUUUAGAUGGAUAAGCAAUACAUAAUACAUUUACACGUGUUCCCUGUAAAAAUCUCCUUUGUUUGAUUUCUCAUAUUUGUUAUAUACAGCACAUCCAUCUUUGUAGAGUUCCAAAAUGAAAACAGUUUGUACAAGUUGAUGGUUUUUAAAACUUCUAUUCAAGUUAUUUAUUUAUUUUUAAUUUAAAAUUCAUAAUUUAAUUGUCAAUCAUAUGUCAAAAUUGGCCGUUAAUAACCGAUUUUGAUUUUAAGCAAGGAUGAUUGCAUAUUUUUACAUCCAAAAUACAAGAUAAAUUAAAAUAAAAGUUGGUAAAACUUGCCAAAUAUUGUCUCUAACACAUAGGUUUCCGAAUAUUCCAACGAGAUAAAUUAAAAUAAAAUUAAUCACCCUACUUUAGUCAUCAAAAUUUAAUGAAAUAACAAUUAGAUUUAAUUAUGUCGUUUAAACAUUUUGCUACAUUUGAGAAUAAUCCCUUAGUUUGAGCAUUUCAGAGUUUUGGAGAACAAUGUAUAUAUUAUCUUACAAGCUCAGAGAUGAGACUGUACUUGUUCCCAGCUCGAAACCGAAAUGAUUUAUAACAGGUUGCAACCGGAAGCUUUGCUACUAUCAGACUCCUUCAAACAUUAAUUCUUCUGAAUUUCCGCAUUAUGUUGCAUAAAAAUGUUAUUUCAAGAGAGCUAACAUUUCCACCAAUCGUAUUAUGCACCGUUCGCAUACAAACGGGUCCAUUCCUUAGCUGCAAAUAGUUAAGGAAACCAAGAACAUCAAUAGUAAGAAGCAUGGCAUAUCAUCUUUGAUUCUAGUAGUCAUCUAAGAUUGCAACCACAGGGUUUCACCUGUCUCGACGGCUUCGGCCUCGUUUAUUUUCCAGUGCUUAGCAAUGUUUUCCGAGAGUGGAUCAUCAGGAUUAGGAGCACUCAAGAGUGCUUGAAUGCUAGCAAUAACGAUAAUAAUUUCAGUAUUAACUUAAAACUUGAUCAAGAUACCGCAAUAACUUAAAUAACAUCUUCAACCCAGACAUUAAUGAAACCUCUUUCCAAGUAUUAAUAUGUACAUACGAAAAAGCAGUGAAGUCUUUCAUGCAGAACCGAAGCUACAUAAAUAGGGUUAUGUUGCACAAAAACUUAUAAUACCUCAAAAGUACAGUUCGAAUCUGGAGAGCCGGACUCCAUUUGUCUUUAAGAAUAUCGAGGCAUAUUCUUCCAAGCUGCAAGAAAGCUCAAUCCUUAGAAGCCAACAAAAUACAUCUUUAACACCAUAAAACAAGGACAAAAGAAGGAACAGGUAGAGCUGACCUUAUCGAUGUUAGGAUGAUAUAUCUUUGUAAGAAACCGGACCUGUUAUACCAAAUUUGUUCAGGUGGAUAAAAAUACAGAACAUACCAAAAAGGGCAAAACUAAUGGAAGAUGAAAAAAUUCUGAGAAACAAACAAGUCAAUCACCAUACUAGUAAACGUAAGAACAAGCAGUUUGAAAAGCCAGUGCAUAUAACAUACUAUUAAAUGUUCAUUUCCAAUUAAUAUUUUCCUCUCAAAUGUCAUUAAAAGCAAAUAAUGAUAUAGAACCAAAACUUCACCAUGUUGAAAGGAGAAUCAUACAUAUUUGCCAUAACAAUAAAGUAAAAGAGAAAUUCUGUUGAACCUGAAACUACUGGAACCGAUAAAACAACGUUCUCUACAUGCAAACUAGUGCAUCCCUAAUUCAUAUUAAAAUCCAAUAUAUAACAUUUUCAGAUGAAGUCGAUCAAUAUUGUAUAUCGAAGGAACAUCAAUCGAGCAAAUCCCAACAUAUGCAAAAAACAUGAAGGUCAUACUUGAAGAAUAAGUCACUGUUGAUUACCUUGGGAGCCGCCAUGGGAUAUUCUUCGGGCAAAAAUAGUUCCAACUUGAAAACCCCUCCUAAACAAAUAACCCAAACAAGAAAAUUCAUCAUAAUUCCAUACAUAAUGGAAAAUGAUAAAAAGGUGAUGAGAUAUUACAAAGCAUGCUAAUUGGCCUUAAAUUUCAACACAGAAAACACGGGUCCCUUUCUUUAUCUUUAAAAGAUGGAAAUGAAGUAAUAUAAACGCUGCAUAAUCAUUUUCUCAAAAGAAAAGAAAAAAAGAAGCAAACUUUAAGCAUAUGGAGGUUAUUUUAAUGACUAAAAAUUGGCUAUGGUGUCAAUCUUUAUGUAUUAAAUCAGCUGAGACCGAACUAUUAUACAAUAGCUUCUAAAAUUUUACAGCUCUAACACAAUGAAAAGUAUCAGCAACCAUCAGAUUAAAAAGAAAAUCAACUACCUUCAUAUGGAGAUUGUGUUGGACCAAGGAUCAUCACAUUAAAAUAUCGCAUAUUAUCCUCUGAUGGUGAGGCAUUAAUUCCAGGCGCUGUAUUUAAGGGGGAAAAAAACAAUAAACUCUUUUAUUUACCAGGAAAAGAAACCCAGAAAAUUCAACAAGAAAAAAAGAGAGCAUAGCAUUUACCUGGUUCACUGAGGAGACGCUGAGUUUCCUGUUUAGAUCAAAGAUUAAGAAACAAAAAUUAAGCAUGAAACAUUUACAAAAUUCACAGAAACAAACUAAGAACACUUAAAAUAAUUUGCUGAAGCUUUUGAUUCAUUAAAACCCAAAACAAUUCAGCUACCAGAUCAAACUCUAGAAACCCAGAAAAAAGAACACAAAAAUUAUGAGGCUUCUCAUGAAGAAACCGAGAAGGAUCAGAGUGAGACCGAAAAAGGAACCUUUAUGAUUCUUCGAGGGAGAUUACUGUUGGCCAUUGGCGAGAUCGAUUGCAAGAAAAAAAAAAGAGGGUUUUUGGGAUUUAGAAAUUGAGAGAAAAAGAAAAUAAGAAUCUUUUGUGUAUAUAUUAGUACUAUGCCCACCACGCGAGAAAAAGUAAAAUAGAAAGGAAAUUAUUUAAUGCGUUAAAAAUAAUAUUAAAAGGAAAUUACUUAACAUAAUGUUUAUGUAUAAAUAUAAAAAAAUAAUAUAUAUACUAGUAAUCUCGUUCGAAAAAAACAUUCAGGUCCCUUUCGAUCUCACUCGGUUUCUUCUUAGAAGAUUUUUUUUUUGGUUUAAUUUUGUGUGUUCUUCUUUCUGGGUUUCUGGAGUUUGAUUUGGUGACUGAAUUGGUUUGGGUUUUAAUGAAUCCAAAACUUCUGCAAAUUAGUUUCAGUCUUUUUAGUUUGUUUGCGUGAAUUUUCUAAAUGUUUAUUGCUUAAUUCUUUCUUCUUAAUCUUUGAUCUAAACAGGAAACUCACCGUCUCCUCAGUGAACCAGGUGAGUACUCUGCUUUUUAAUUUAAAAUUUGAAAUUCUUGUUGAAUAUUGUUUGCUAUCGUUUUUCGGUUUAAAUGUUAUGAGCUGAAAAAAAGUUAAAAAUUUCUGGGUUUCUUCUCCUGGUAAAUAAAAGAGUUCAUUGUUUUUUCUUUUUCCCUUAAAGAGUUGAUUGCUUGCUCUCAUAUACACUUCAACUUAUUGGUGAAUUAAUUUAGUUUUUCUGGUAUAAAUUUGAUCAACCCCAGGAGUUUGAUACAUUGACACCAUGAAAGAGGAACAACGCUUACUUCUUCUCCACUCAUCCUCACUCUUCUUUCCUCCUCAAGGUCUUUCCUUUCCUUCAAAAACCAAAAGAUACUUCUUUUCAAUUUUGUUGCUAACAAAAACAAUUAACUUUUUUAUAUUACUUUUUUGGUUUUUCAUAGGAGUGAAGCUAUCAUAUGGGACAGCAGGAUUCAGGGCAGAUGCAUCGAUCCUUAAAUCAACAGUUCACAGGGUUGGGAUAUUGGCUGCUUUAAGAUCACUCAAAACCCAAUCAGUUGUUGGAUUGAUGAUCACAGCUUCACACAAUAAAGUUACUGACAAUGGAGUCAAAAUUGUUGAUCCAAGUGGUGGAAUGCUCACUCAAGAAUGGGAACCUUUUGCUGAUCAACUUGCCAGUGCCCAAACUCCUGAAGCCUUCCUCUCAGUGAGUAGCCUCUUCUUUAUGUUUUUGGAUGCGCGUUUUAUUUGCUUUAUGGUAAUUCAGUGAAAUUGUUGCUGAAAGAUGAUGGGAAUUGAUGCAUUUUUAAAUAUAUUUCCAAAUUUUCUUGAUGAUUAAUGUUAAGGUGUUGUAUAAGAAACAAUAGCUUUCUUUCCCCUUGAUGAGAAUACAAUGUAUUAUGCAUAUAAUUAACAGAAAAAGUAAACCAACUAAUAUAGUCUAAAGAGCCCACUAGUAGUUGAAAAAAAAUUCCAAUAUGAAGUUAGAGUAGUUUGUGUAAGGUGAGACUUACAGUUGAGACCUAAUGGUUUUAGGAUCGUCACCUUACCACUGAGGCAAGGUCAGUUGAGAAAGCAACAACCGUUUUGAUACUAUAGUUUAUGUUUGUUUGAUGAGCAGUAGUGAACUGAAGGUGUAAUAGUUUUGUUUAAGCUCAAAAAGUAUGCUAAAUUUUAGUAGUGUUGUGUAUUUGAUAUAAAUGGAGAGGGAUUUUUAGGAAAGGGAUGGUGAGUUUGAAGAGCGGAUUUAAAUUCUAUGUUAAAUGUGACUAGAAAUGCAUAUUAUACUUAUCAAUUGUUUGUUCAUACAACAGCUCAUAACAGAAUUUGUAGAGAAGGAAAAAAUUCCAUUAGAUGGAGUGCAAUCUGCAGAGAUAUUGUUAGGAAGAGACACCCGGCCUAGCGGAGAAUCCCUCCUUGAAGCUGCAAAGCAGGUACACUUUUUUCAAUCAACAGGGGAUUGCUGAAACUUUGAUAAUUUUCAUUGUGAUGUUAAAUGCAUCUAUCAUUUGCUAAUAUCUGUCCAUUUUUUAGGGAAUAAGUUCAAUUCAUGGAGCUAUUGCUCUUGAUUUAGGAAUUUUAACAACCCCACAGCUGCAUUGGAUGGUUCGUGCUAGGAAUAAAGGCAUGAAAGCGACAGAACCUGCCUAUUUUGAACAGAUUUCAAGCUCCUUCAGGCUAGUUGAAGCUUCAGGGUUUUUUGUAGCCAUUUUUUAGCUUGAAAUUAUACUACUUACAGUAAUGUACUAUUGUUUAGGUGCUUGGUAGAUUUGAUCCCAAAUGAAACCAAAAGCAGCAAGAUGGAUAACACAGUUGUGGUUGAUGGGGCUGAUGGUGUGGGUGGAGAGAAACUUGAAGUUUUGAAAAGUAUGUUAACCAGUUUAGUUAUCGAGGUUCGUAAUACUGGUAAAGGUGGGGGUCUAUUGAAUGAUGGGGUUGGUGCCGAUUACGUACAGAAAGAGAAGGUUGUUCCACGUGGAUUUUGUUCCAAUGAUGUUGGAUUAAGGUGUGCUAUCUCUUCAGAUUUGGGAGUAAAUUACUGUUAUCAACUGUUUAUAAGCUAAUUAUUCUUGCAUCUCACUGAAUUGUUGAUCAAAGGUUAAAGGCACAUUAAACAUGUAACAAAUUUGUGAUAUUCUUUUCUUUUUGUAACGAGUGUGUAUAAUUAACAAUUUUUCGAUGGUUUGGUAACUGUCUAGUUAGCAAUGCUUCAGGAAGUGAUUACUAACCAGACACUUGAUCAUUCAUUGACUAGUACAACAACUAGUUUGGAUAAUUGAUUCAUGAUGGUAUUUGAUAGCAUUUUUACCAUACUAAUGUUUCUAGUGUAUGUUUUGAAAUCUGGUUGUGCUCUUAACUAUUGUUUCUCAGGUGUGCAAGUUUGGAUGGUGAUGCUGAUCGCCUUGUAUAUUUUUCGGUCCCAACUAGCAGUAGCAGAAAAAUUGAUCUUGUUGACGGGGACAAAAUAUUAUCCUUGUUUGCAUUGUUCAUCAAGGAGCAACUAAGUAUUCUGACCAAGGAGGGCACUGAAAAACUUGAUAAUAGUUAUCAUGCUCGACUUGGUGUUAUACAGACAGCUUAUGCUAAUGGAGCAUCCACUGAUUAUCUCAAACAAUCGGGUUUGGAAGUCAUUUUUACUCCUACAGGGGUAAAACACUUGCAUGAGAAAGCUGCUCAGUUUGAUAUUGGAAUCUAUUUCGAAGCCAAUGGUCAUGGCACUAUCUUGUUCUCUGAAUCCUGGUUGUCUUUGUUAGAGGCCAGGAACAAUGAACUAGGUUUGGCAUCUGAAGGUAAUUUAUGAAUAAAGUCCUUUUCUAUAGAAGAAUUAUCUAUUAUAGUUUAUCGAGUAUUAUUGUCAUUUUUUUCUCAGGAUCCGAACAACAGAAAGCUGCUCUAAGACUACUCUCUGUCAGUAAAUUGAUCAACCAAGCUGUUGGAGAUGCUUUGAGUUGCUUGCUUUUGGUUGAGGUUAUUUUGCAACAUAAGGGUUGGUCCAUACAUAAAUGGAAUGAACUUUACCAGGAUUUACCUAGUCGACAACUUAAGGUCAGUUUUCUUCAUCACUCUUGGAAAAGAAACAAGGGUAGUCUUUCUCAUCUAUAGAAGGGAUCAUAUCUACCUUUUCUUGCUAGUUUUCCAUAUUUUGACUAAGACCUUUUCUUUUGUACGUUACACCUAAGACAUCUUAAAACUCGUUGAAGAGAUGGACCGUUUGAUCUUCUAUAUGAAGGAGAAAGUAUGCUUCACGUCUGUUGAAAUUGAAAAGGAUUCAUAUAGUCCUCAAUAGAGAGGCUGAGUUUGAGGGCUUCUAACCAAAACUACUAGAGUUUGGCUAGUAUAAGCAUGCAACAUUAGCUUAAUAAUAUUAGAUUUACUACAUGAGAAAGAGAAAAAAGGGGAAAUCUUUGAUACAACUGAUUUCCGCAUGCUGCAUCCUCUUUAUAAUGUUUUUCUUGUAAACUCUGCUAUUGUGUAGUCUUACAUUAGCAAUGCUCAAACUAUUUAAUGUUUCCAUUGCUUGUGCUAGGUCAAAGUUGUAGACAGAACAGCCGUUGCAACAACAAAUGCCGAAACUGUAGCUAUUAGUCCCCCUGGCAUUCAAGAAGCCAUUGAUGCUGAAACUGGUAACAUUUUUGUCAUUGAUCUCUUCUCAAUUCAUGUUUUGGUGCUUAUGCUUGGGCUUAUUUUAUGGUUCAAUUAACAUCUCACUAUUGGGGGAAUAUUUUUCUCUUAAGUCUCUUUUGAGGCUUCGUGUAUAUUAACUAUUUCUGAAAACUCAUACAAAAUGCAGCGAAGUACCCUAAAGGCCGGUGUUUCAUACGGCCAUCAGGUACAGAGGAUGUCAUUCGUGUUUAUGCAGAAGCCUCCACCCAAGAAGCUGCAGACAGCUUGGCCGGUUCUGUUGCCAAAAUUGUUGAUCGUUUUCUAGGUUUUAGCAGCUCUCAGCAGUAGCUUCCCUAAUCUUUCACAUUAUAACAGAAAUCACAAAUGGAGACGCAGAUUACUGUGGGUGCUUUAUAUUGAUUCUUUGUUUUGAAGGUAAUAUAUUUUAUUAUACUUUUUUAUAACAUUAAACUUUGUCAUCUUACUUUUACAGGCAUUGAUUUCAAAUUGAGUUUUCCCCACUACUUUGAACACUACAGAGUUCCUUUUCUGUUCGGUAUCUACUCGUUUAUGUAAAUGCUUCCCUGUGCGGUAAAAGUACCCCACAAUCUUUCUCCUUCAUCCCUUGCCCUUCUUUUUACUGGUUGAUGAAAUGGUUAACUCCUUUGGCUGACAAUUCCGGCUCCAACCGAGUAAUCCAUUUGGUGAUGGGCAAGGAACACAUUGGUUUUCCUCCCAUCUGUGCCCCAUAAUGAGUUCCUAGAGAAGAUUGUAAUGUCUCUUCCCAAGCAUGUCAAACGACCUUGUCAUAGUAGGUAAAAAGCCUUCAGGUUCCCGUCGGCCUUGUCAAAAUGAGAACCUUUUGCCGAUCAACUUCCCAAUGCCCAAACUCUUGGAAGCUCUCCUCUCUGUGGGUAACAUUUUGUGUUUGUGGAAGUGGGUUUUAUUUGUUUUAUAGUAAUUCACUGAAAUUAUAUCAAGAAACUAUUGGAACAUCCGGAAAUAUAUUUGAGCACCUCCAACUUCUAAUAAUUAACAAAAAAAAAAACCUUUUGUGCUACAGGGUACAGUCUUUUUUAUAUUCAACAUCACCAUAAGCAUUACUUUUCAACAUCAAAUUAUGUUUAUCCAAUUCCUCAAGUAAAAGGUUAACCAACGAGGAAUCAAAAAAGAAAUGCCAGUCCUUUAUCAUUAAAUAUUUAAAGUGUUAAUAAACAAAUCCAUCCACCAAUCCAUCAAAAACAAUGUGAAACUGAACAAUGAUGUACCAUUUCCCUGAGAUCCUUCCCAUAUAAGUCUUGAAGAGCAUCACACUCCACCAAUCUAUCUCCUUCGCUCACUUCACACAAAAUUUCCAUUGUAAGAACAAAAAUUUUAUUUACUCGAGUUUAAAAAGGUUAAAAACAAUUAGUUUAACUUUUUAAUUUUAAAUUGAAUCGAUUGAAUCGAAUAGUUUGAUCUAUGAACAAUAAACUAACAAAUAAAAAUAUAUCCCGUCACAUAAUUAUUUUAAGUGUGUUAUUUCAAAAUAAAAAUCUUAAAGUUUUGAUAGUUAUAAAAGGAAUUAUUUAGUUAAUUAUUAAUAAUCCACCAACAUGACAUGUUAUAGUAUAUGAUCAAAAAUAUUUUCCUAUAAAAAUAUUUAAAAUAAUUAAUAUAAUAAAAAAUAUGUCUCCUUAGUGGGGGUUUUAAAUUUUAAUUAAUCCGAUUUAAAUAACUAUAUAUAAAUAUUAUUAAAUUUUAAAUAUAAAAUAAACCGAAUUUAAAUUCAACCAAACCGGUUCAUGGGCCUGAUACGAGCCCACCGUUUUUCUUCAACAAACCGCGAAAGAGCAGAUAGCGAGAGUGAUGUUUAUAGACAAACGGCCGAGAGAAUGACAAUACACUCACCAGUCACCAAACCAGCAAACCAAACAAAGGAUAACAUUAAAAAUGAACACUUAUAAAGAUAUCUUCUAGAUUUUGCUUAUUAAAGCUUUGAUUUGAUCGUUUCCUCGAUCUCAUUUUAUAUUUUUAAAAUUAGUCUCAAACCCAAACCACCCCAUUCAGCGGAAUUGACAAUGCUGCUUAACGUGGGUACUUUCAUAAGAUCAGCUUCUCGAUUUUCUCCUUUCAUUAUAACCCAUUCUUCUCUUUCUUCUCCUUCUUCGUUUUGUUUCAGUUUCUCUCCAAAGCAAACCGUCUCUUUUGCUCUACAAUCAUCACAAAUGGCGUCUUUUACUACGUUAUCUCAAUCGCCUCCAAAGCUAUUGUUUCGUCAGUUGUUCGAGAAAGAAUCAUCUACUUAUACUUACCUCCUUGCUGAUUGUUCCCACCCGGAUAAACCAGCGCUUGUAAGUGUUUUUUUUUUCUUAAUGAAAAUAAAAUCUGGGUUUUGUUUGCUUUUGGGUUAUUAUUAUUAUUAGUAUUUGAUAUAUGGUGAAAAUGGGUGUGUGCAGUUGAUUGACCCUGUAGACAGGACUGUUGAUAGAGAUUUAAAUUUGGUUAAAGAAUUGGGGUUGAAGCUUAUUUAUGCUAUGAACACUCAUGUACAUGCUGAUCAUGUUACUGGAACUGGCCUCAUCAAGGUUUUCCCUUUCUCACUUUUACUCUACCCUGUUCUCUAUAUUUUUGGGGUUAUUAGAGAAAUAAAGUCUACUAUCAGUCAAUUUUGUUACUUAAGACUUGAGACUGUUGAACUGGAUAAUUCAGGUUCUAGUCAUUCAGGGGAUGUUAUUGUCUCUUAGAUUGAUGUAUAUGAAUGUGAUUGUUCCUUUUAGGGCAAGGUGCCUGGUGUCAAAUCCGUUAUUUCAAAGGCCAGUGGUUCCAAGGCUGAUGUUUUUGUUGAACCUGGUGACAAGAUCUCUUUUGGGGAUCUCUUUCUUGAGGUAGGCCCGUGUACGCAAAACUACUUGUUCUGUCAGUUUCGUUGUAUGGAUCUUUUUAAACAAUUCGGGAGAAUAUAGCUAUGAUGUUGCGGUGGUUUACGUAUUGCUGGCUCAUUAUGAAUUCUUUGUUUUUUUUUUUUUUUUGAAGAAAAGCUCGUUAUGAAUUCUAAAAGAUGAAAAAGAAAAUAGAGUUAGAGAUGUGAGUAUACUGUGUAGGUAAUCAUGACCAGCAUUCCAAUGGUUUUGUUAUUUAAUUGGUAAUUUGGUUUGUUGUUUUGAUUACACCCUAACUUCCAAUGUGGUUUAACUGGCAUUAUUGAAUGAUGACCAUUAGGUCUACUGCAGUACUAUCUUCUAUAAUAUGGUAAUAAUUGCAGGUUCGUGCUACUCCUGGUCAUACAAUGGGUUGUGUUACCUAUGUCACGGGAGAUGGACCUGAUCAACCUCAGCCAAGGAUGGCUUUCACAGGAGAUGCUCUGUUGAUAAGGGGAUGUGGGAGGACAGAUUUUCAGGUAUAAUGUCUUGAAAAUGUUAUUGCAGCUAAUCGCAAAAAAAUGGAAUGAAUUAAUAUUAAUGUCAUUAAUACAAAAGGAGCAGUCUAAAUUAAAAUGUUAAGCAUGUAAACCAAUCUUGGCUUUUCUUAUGCAUUUUAAAAUUUUUGUAUGUCCCCAUGUGAUGUUUGGAUUAGGAAUGUAUAUUUAUCCACUGAUAUGUGUCCCAGGAAGGGAUUCUUGAACCGAUAAUUGAUUGUUUUUGCAUUUAAUUUGCAUGCCCUAUUUGUAUUUCAAACAAUAGGACCGCUGCGUAGAUAUCUAACUCUUGGUUACCUAUUUGUCUAGUCUUCUACUUAUCGGUGCUUACCUUGUUACUGUGGUUGCACAUAAAGUGUUUGUCAUUCACAAGCCUCAUGGUAAACUAAUCAGUAAUUAAAUCAUCCUUGAAGUAAAAGUUUGAACUAUCAGGGCUAUACUUUUUGCAACGGAUUUUCAGUCGUGAGUACAUAAAUGCUGGUCUUAUAUGCUGGCAAUUUCUUUCCAUCUGGAUGUCAUUGUCAUGGAUAUUUCUGUCUUCCAGGAUUUUUGUUAUACUCAAGUUUUUAAGAUAAUUUUCUCUAAUGCUCCCACAUUCAGUAGCCAUUGACUAGCACUGAUUAACGCAUUUUGCAGGGUGGAAGUUCACAGCAACUCUACAAGUCAGUGCAUUCACAGGUAAGGACAGGGGACUUUUUAUGGUCCCAUUCUUUGAGUUCUCAAAAUUUUAUUAAUUGUCAAAUUUUGAAUAAAAAUUAUGGACUUAUUUGUUUCAUGGAUCCAGAUUUUUACAUUACCGAAAGAGACAUUGCUAUAUCCAGCUCAUGACUAUAAAGGAUUCUCAGUAAGAUAUAAAACUUUAUUCCUAUCAUUUCUUACAUAUAUAAAUGAUUGCUUGAUUUUAUAAACCUCAUUGAUUAUAGGUAACCACUGUGGGAGAGGAAAUGCUAUAUAAUCCACGCUUGACAAAGGAUGAGGUAUUCUUUCUGGAACCAUCCAUCUUCAUUUUUCUUUCGAAAAUGGCUUGCUACUUUUGACAAUAGAAUGCCUGUUUUCAUUUCAGUGAUAAGAAAGGGUUUCCUUUUGUCCAUGAAGUCUUUUAUGAUCUAACUUGUAUAAGCUGCAUAUAACUUCUGUAAUUAAAAUUACAUAUGCAUUGAACAUUUCUUGCUGAGCAUUGGUUUGAUUCUCUUGGACGGGACUAUUCCAAUGAACAUCGCCAUGGUAAAACAGGAAAUCAUGAAAAAGCAUGACAUCUCAAUACCUUCACGCAUUUGAUUGAAGAUUACUCUUUAUUAUGGUCAUAGAAUACUAGUUUCAAUUUGUCCCAUCAAUAUGUCUGAUUAUAUUAUUUGUUGAAUACCCUUUUUGCAGGAGACUUUCAGAAACAUCAUGGAAAGUAAGUUGAUGCUCAAUAUAUCCAGUCUAUAAAGAUUAUUAAAAAAUAAAAGCAUCCUCGGGUAUUUUCGGGUCGCCGGUUCUAAUUUCUCCUCUGUUUUUGUUGGUGCAACAGAUCUUAACUUGGCAUAUCCUAAGAUGAUUGAUGUUGCAGUGCCAGCAAAUAUGGUUUGUGGGUUGCAAGAUUUGGAACCUAAAGCCAACUGAGGCUUUGCUGGAUCAUCCAUAAGUGUGCACAGAUUUUAGUUGUAGUAUAAUUCUGGAUCUUAAUAUCACUGGAUAUGCUAAAUAAAAUGGCUAGAGAAGCCACGUGAUUGCAAGGAAUCCAUAAAUUAUAUAUACUAUAUCAUAUUGUAAUCAUGUAAUAUUGUCGUCCUUCUAUCUGCAUCAACUUGUGUUGUUCAUACAUACCCUCCUAAGUUACCGAACUUUCUAUCUGCAUCAACUUGUGUUGUUCAUACAUACCCUCCUAAGUUACCGAACUAUCUAAACAAGACAACACCAUGAUAUAUCAUAUAUCCUUUAUUAUUGGACCAACCAUAUUCAGCCAUAUCCUUUACAUUUCUGAAUUCGAUCAAGUAGAACUUAUUAGUAGGUAUAAGCUAUGAUUUGAAUUUGAUUUCAAGAUAUAUAACGAAUUGUACAAAUUUGUUGGAUUAACUUUGAUUUUAAUUUCAAUAUUAUAAUUUGAAUUCAAAUUAAUAUUAAAAAAUUUCAUUAAAAAUUAACUCGUGAAUUCUUUUUUCAAAAUAAAUAUUAUAUUAGAAUCAAUAACUUAAACUGACUCGAUUAACCGAAGCGAAUAAGGAAUAAUUUAGAUUCACAAGAUGUGUCAUUUAUAGCCCAAAUUAAAAUGUAAUAAUAAGUUAAAAUUGCCAAACUGGGUAUGAUAGGCAGUAGGCAGCUUCCUGAAUCCGAUCCUAACGCUCAAUUUUCUAUAGUUGAUUGAUCACCAUAACCAGAUCCCAUUUCCCAAUCUAGAAUUUCCCUGGGAGGAGAAAUGAGUAAUGAAGAUAGAAACAGAGGUGUAGCUGUAGAUAAACAGCAGCAUAACCAAUAUGGAACAUUCCAAGGAGUUGCCAACUACCCUCCUCCACGGCCUCCACGUCCCCACCACCACAACCCGCAUCCGCACCAGCACCAGCACCAGCACCAGCACCAGCACCAGCACCAGCAACAGCACCAUGGGCCAACUAUUGGGUUUCCUCCACCUGCCUCUAUCGCUCCUCCUCAGUAUUACCCCCAAGCCUACCAUACCGUGCCGGGUAUUCUACAAAUAUGAAAAAACCUUCUUCUCUUUUUAUUAGCUUAUCGAAAUGAAGGAUUUUGAGAUUUGGGUUUUUGUUAGAUGGAUGGUUAAUGAUAUUUUUUAGAUGAAAGAUACAAGUUUUUUAAUGUUUUAGAAGAAAAGGUGUUUCAAUAUUAGGAGUUUUUUAGCAGAGAAAGAAGAUAAGUAAAUGCAUAGAGAUACAUUAACAAUAUUAUUUGGAUUUGGUUGUCAAAUGUAUUGAAGAAUUUUUUAAAGUGUGGGAAGAUUCAAAGUUCUAUUAUAGCAGAUAUAUAUAUAUAUUUUAAUGGUUUAAGAAGAAUGGAAGUCGGUUUCAAAGGAAGAUGAGAAAUAAAAGCAUUUAUAUAUACGAUAUGUCAUUAAUUCAUAAACCAAAUAUAUAAAAUAUGUAAAAGUGUCAGGGGUUAAUCAUGGUGUUUUGACAAGCCGGUAACCUCCAACUUGAAGAAAACCUUAGGUUUCUAAAAUUUAUGUGAAGAGUUAGAAUGGUAUGCUUUGUGGAUCUGAAUAACUAGAACAGUGUAAGAGUGGUAUACUGUGUCAAGUUUGGUUUCUUGUAUAUAAUUGUAUCGAAAACAAUGUUACAUGAGUUAAAAUGAAUGUUCAACCAAUUUAACAAAGCCUGCAUUAUGUUGAUCAAAAUUUUUAAUUCAUGUUGAGGUUUCUUCCGUGAUAUCUUUGAUGUCAAGGUUAUGAUGUUGCUGAAGGAACACCUGUAAGAGAUAAGCUACCGUGCUGUGGCAUUGGAUUCGGAUGGUUCUUGUAAGUGUACAUAGUUUUCUUUGUUUUUAAAGAGUUCUUUACAUAUGAAGUAAAACAAGUAGCAACUUGAUGUAUAUGUCAUUAUGCUUUAACUUAAGCAAAUCAUUUUCCUUUAUCUCUAAUUUCCAUUUCUUUAAAAGAAAAAGAGGGAGUUUUGUAGUUUACAGUUUGGACAAAUGGAAGUUAAUAUAAUGCACUAUUUCGAUGGAGAUAUCCAAUCAUAUUGGAUGAAAUGUUAUAAGAAACCUGUGAGUUCAUAUUGGGUUUACUUUAUAUCAUAAUUAGAUUGUUUAUUUCACGUUGCUACUUGUUAAACUAUACCACUUUCACAUUCAUACGUGAAAUGGCUGGGAUUUAGUGCCAUUCUACUUAGCAGCCUCGUGUAAUACACAGGUGAAAUGUUUAUGUCUUCAUGUCACCUUAAAGUUCCCAUUUCCAUGACGGUAUUGUUAAGUAAAGACUGGUACAACCCCAAAAUACGGAAAUUGUUUUGGAUGUAUACUACUUUACCAUGCAUGAUUUUCUACAAGUUUGCAUGAUAUUUUAUUACUAUAUUGGUCGUUAUUUUCUGUACUCGCAGCUUCCAUUAAUAUAUUUUUAUGAAUUUUGAACUUUCUUGUUUAAUAAGUAUGCUGCUUUGAAGGUUCAUCAUUGGUUUCUUCAUUGGGGGCCUUCCCUGGUAUAUUGGAUUCUUUGUUUUACUUUGUGCAAGGAUAGACGACAGAGAGAAAGCAGGAUAUAUUGCUUGCACAAUUGCCGUGAGUAUCUUUUCUAUCAGUAUUUUUUCUUUUCCAAUUUUAUGAAAGCCAUCCUUCCUGCCUUGUAUGGGUCAUCAAUUUAACCAUUAUAUAUAUGUGUAUCUUAUGUAUUUGUACCAUGUUUUAUCUUCAAUGCAAAUAUAAGUUAAACUACAAAGAUUGGAUUGUUAAAAAAAAUUUAAAAUGUUAAAAAAAUUGAAAAUUUUGAUUUUGUAAGAAUGAUAGAAAACCAAGGCCAGUGCUUGCAUAUGUUAUCUACUACAUGCACAAUCGUGUCGAUGUCUGUCUAUAUGUUUCUUGUUUAGAAAUCGUGUUCAAUUGGGUUACGAUAUGUACUAUUGAAGUGUCAAUUUAUAAUUUCCUUAUCAAGAUUACACAUUUUUUUGUUAAUAUUCGGAAAUCACUCAAUGGUUAUAAACCCUGCUUGGAUACUGUCCACAAAGUCUAGUUGGAACAUCCCUUGUAUGCUUUGUCCUUUCUAAGAACUUUUCCUUUCCAUCAUUUUCGCUUCUGUUUUUUUUUCUUCCCUCUACUUUAAGUCAUUAUCUAACGUAGAUAUCCCUUGUAUUCUUUGUCCUUUCUAUGGCAAUCGAGUCAAUUGAUGGCAAGCCAAAAAAAAAAAGAACAGCUAUCCUGUCUUAAUCGAUUGCCAUCCCUCCUGUUAAACACCAUUAAGAAAAGGAAAAUUUUAGUUAAGCUUUAAAACAGCCAUGAUUUAACGAUGUUGGUGAUGGUGCUUGUGCAGGCCCUUCUUGCUACAACUACAAUUAUUCUUAGUGCAACAAUUAAAGCUGGUGGGUGAUAAAGCACCUCUUUUGACUGAGAGAUGUAUAUGUUCCCAAAUAAUAUGUAUAUGCUCCCCCCCCCCCUCUCUUUAUUUUAUUUUAUUUUAUUUUAUUUCCAGUAAGUUAUUGUUUAUGAUAAUUUGCAACAAAUGUUUUUGUCAUUAUUUUGUUGGUGAAUGAUAAUAAGAUUAAACUCUACUUUCUUAAGCUCCAAUUCUUUAAAGUUGGUGAUUUUUUAUUAUAGUUGAGUCAUUGUAUGGCAUUAAUAUAAUUUAUGUCGCUUAAAAUUUAUUACUAAAAAUGUAAAAUUUAAAUUUUACUUCAAUUUAUUUGUAUUUAUAAAUGGUUAAUUCAAACUUAUUUUUUUCCUCAUUAUAUUUUAUAUUUAAAUUAACAUUUAAACUAUUUUUCAUUAGCAAUGCUGUUAUUAAUUAUAUUUAUUAGCAACAACAUCAAACUUACAAAAAAUUAAAAUUUUAACUAUCUUUUAAAAAUAUUUUUAGCUAUUUAUCAUCAUAGAGAAAAAAAGGUGAGGUCACCACGCCUCAUGCUUAGACACCACAAGCUAGACUCUCAAGUCUCAUCACCUGUAUUUAUCAUCGAUUCAAAUUUUUAUGUCUACUGUAUUCCAGAACUACCUAAAAAUAUAUAUUCAAGCUUCCUCUGGUUAAGUUCAUUGAUAGUCAACUUACUAUUAUUUCUUAAAAAAAAAAAAAUUGGUUAAUAGUAAUAUCAAUGAUUCAAUUUUAUUCUUACCAGUAUCUGUCCUUUAGAAAGGGACUUAUAAAAGAGAUAGAGGUGAGUAAACUUGAGCUUCAGCUUUCCUCAAACACCUUAAUUUGAAGACACAGUUCUCUCAUACUAAAAAAGACAUGGAAGUUUGCCUUGUAAUUAGAGAUUUGGUUUCAUUGCUUGUUGUUGGGUUAUUAAUGAUAUGGGGAUGGAGAACUUUAAACUGGGUAUGGCUGGCCCCAAAAAGGCUCGAAAGCUGCUUGAGACAACAGGGUUUUGCAGGGAAUCCUUACAGGUUCCUUUCUGGUGACAUAAAAGAGCUCUUCACUAUGAGCAGACAAACAAGAGCCAAACCAAUGCCUCUUAGUGAUGAUAUUGGGCCUUAUGUUGUUCCUUUUCAACAUCAAACUGCUAACCAGUAUGGUAUGUUUUUUUUAUUUAAUCUGCAAAUUAUGAUAAUUCUUUGUUAUUUAUGUAUGGAAUUUAUUGGGAGGAAAUGCAGGAAAGAAUUCAUUUACGUGGUUUGGUCCAAGACCAAGGGUGAACAUUACGGACCCUGAAAAAAUAAGAGAAAUACUUAACAAAUUUAAUGACUUCCAGAAGAUACGUACCAAUCCUCUGCUUAAUUUGCUUGUAAGCGGCCUUGUUAACCUCGAAGGAGACCGAUGGAGCAAGCGUAGAAAAAUCAUAAACCCUGCAUUUCAUCAAGAUAAGUUGAAGGUAUAGAAUAGUGAUGGGUAAUCAGACUUUACAGAAAACAUCAUACUUAAACCAAUGCUUUUCUGAUUUAGAAAUAAUUGGAUGCAGAAUAUGUUGCCAGCAUUUUAUCAAAGUUGUAGUGACAUGUUAAGCAAAUGGGAGAAGAUGGUGUGUACAGAAGGAUACAGUGAGUUAGAUGUGAGGCCUUAUCUCGUAGAUUUGACAAGAGAUGUGAUUUCCCGAUCUGCUUUUGGAAGCAGCUUCGAAGAAGGCAAACGAAUUUUCCAAUUACUAGAGGACCAACUCGUUCUCACAAUCAAAUUAAUACAAACUGUUUACAUUCCAGGAUGGAGGUAACCGUCAACUUAAUUUACUUGAAAAAGGUUGCAAAUCUUGGAAUUGGCUAAAUUCGUGUUUGUUUUCUUGAAGGUUUUUGCCAACGAAGACAAACAGGGAGAUGAAGAUGAAACACAGAGACAUAAAAGAGUCGCUUAGGGAAAUGAUAAAGAGAAGGGAGAAGGCAAUUAAAGCAGGGGAAGAGAGCAAUGAGGACUUGUUGGACAUACUUGUGGAAUCCAAUAUCAGAGAAAUGGAAGCAAAGAAUAUGGGGAUGAGCAUUGAGGAUGUGAUUGAGGAAUGCAAGCUGUUUUACUUUGCUGGCCAAGAGACCACUUCGGUCUUACUGGUGUGGACUAUGGUUUUAUUAGCAAGGUAUCCCGAUUGGCAAAGUAAAGCAAGAGAGGAGGUUUUGCAUGUUUUGGGUGACAAUAAACCUGAUGCUGAUGGCCUUAAUCGUCUCAAAGUUGUAAGUCCCUAGCAUGUCUUUUGAAGGUCCGAUCAAUGAGGUCGACAACUCAAAAACUUUGUUUCUUUUUUCGCUAAUUCUACAGGUAACGAUGAUAUUGUACGAGGUUCUAAGGCUGUACCCACCGGUGGUUGAGCUAGGACGUUCCGUUCCAAAAGAAAUAAAACUGGGGAAUUUGUUGUUACCAGUAGGAACAGAAGUUUCGGUUCCGAUCCUGCAGAUCCACCAUGACAAAGAUCUUUGGGGUAACGACGCACGGGAAUUUAAGCCAGAGCGGUUCGCGGAAGGGGUUUCCAAAGCAACAAAGAGUCAAGUCACGUUUCUGCCAUUCGGAUGGGGUCCUAGGAUCUGUAUUGGCCAAAAUUUUGCUUUGAUGGAAGCCAAAAUGGCGAUGGCUAUGAUUCUCCAACGCUUCUGGUUCGAGCUUUCCCCUUCCUAUGCUCACUCUCCUUACAGCAGGGGAACUCUUCGUCCACAGCAUGGUGCACAGAUAAUUUUACAUAAACUUGGCUGUAAUUGAAUUGUUAUGUAAACAAAUCUUUGUGAAAACAUAGCGUUUUAGUGUAUCGUCAAAGUCCGGUGUCUGUAAUGGUACAAAUUCGAUGCAUGAAUAGUAAAUUUUGAGAUGUUUGGUGAAGUCCGAAAUAAUAUGCAGAAAUUGAGCGUCUAUGGUGGACAUAGUUGAGGGACUAAUGUGGUAAUUAUCAAUCAAAUAAUUCGGUACAAAGACUUGUAUGGAAAUUAAAGCAGGGGGAGUUGAAAAUGACUACUCUGCUUUGGGCAUCAAUUUAGAAAGAUUUAAAGUACAACUGUGUUAUCAGUUAAGGGAUUUGUUUUAAAGAGGGAAUGACAAUUAAACCUCAUGGUUUAUUUGUGCAAGGGAACCGAUGAUGGGAUGAUUAUUCUUAGUGGUAAAAAAAACCAUUAUGGAGGUUAUUACACUUGUUAUCAUCAGCUUAAAAUUCGAAUGGGUUCAAGUCGGAUUAUAUCGAGCUUGUAAGAUGAGUUCACGGACCAAGUUUGCAUAAUAAAAUACCUAAAUGAAAAAAAAUUCUAUUUUAGAGGGACGAGAGCCCCUAUCAACUCCCGGCUCAGCCACUAAACAAUACCUAUAUCAUAUAAAUAAAUACCACCAUCUAAAAGACUCAAAGAAAAACACUCAACAAAGGAUAAAUAGAUAGAUGUUGGAUAAGUGUCCAAAAUAUGAUUUAAGUGAAGAUACAUGUGGUAGGUGUUACGGAAAUGUGAAGACAAGAAUCCCACUAACGUAUGGGAUGUGUGCAGUUGAAUGUAGGGAGCAAAAAGAGGAGUGAAUCAUUUUGGUAACAUUUGGACAAGAAACAUAAUGAACAAAAUGGAAGGAGAGGAAGCUAGUAAAAGAAUUUUUUUGGGUCAUAUAAUUUGUUCAUUUUGGAGUUGAAUUAUAAUUUUUUUAUAUAUUAUUUUAAAAUUUUAAGGAGUUAAAACAAAAUUAUUUUAUUUUCAGAUGGUCAAAGUAGAGGUGAUAAUGGGUUGGGCUAUUCGGCCCGGCCUGACGAUUCACUCGAAAAAUAGGAGGGUUUAGGUAAAAAUAUAGGCUCGAAAUAGGGAUUUGAGCAAAAAAAGAGUCCCGUUUAGAAAAUGGGCCAGGCCUCGGGUAAAAUUUUUUGGGCCCAAGCCUGACCUGAAUUAUAUAUUAAAUAUAUUUUUUAAUUUUUAAUCAAAUAUACUUUUUUUUAUUAAUUUGGUUAUUAUUUUAGUUCUAAUUUGUUUCAAUUUUAAUAUAACCACUUUUUAUUAUAUUUUCAAUUUGUGUAUUGUUUUAAGAAUUGUUUUAGUCUCAUUUUUUUAUUUAUUUUUUGUUUUAAUAAUUGUUUUAAAAAUUUUUAUUUAAUGAAAUAAGCUAAAAAAAUUAAUAUGGGCUUGGCCAGGCCAGGCUCGGGCCUAGUAAUUUUCUUUUGGGCCGGACUUAGAUAAAAUUUUAAGCCCAUAUUUUAAAUUGGGUCCUAACCUAAAAAAUGAACCUAAAAUUUUAUAUGGGCCCGACUUGGCCCUUGAUUACCUUUAGGUCAGAGCUAUCCUCGUUUUGCAUUUCUUUGAGAUUCAGCCUUAUCUACUGUGAUUGCCCACUCAAUUGAGGGUUGAGUAGAAAGAUUUGGUGAAGCAAGCUAAGCUAUCAAUCAAGGUUUGCAUAAUUAUUUAAAUGUAAUUCUAAUAUUAAAAUAAUUUUUUUAUUAAUAUAGUAUCAACAAGCAUUAAAUGUAAUGAUCAUAUACUAUUACAUUUUAAAGAAGAGAAAACAUGUUUGAACUUUAAAAACCACGUUACUAAAAACAUUAUCACAAACCUUGAAAUAUAAAAAAUAAUUUUUUUAAUAUAAUAAAAAAUUAAUUUUAAACCCGAGCUGAAUAAAAUUCUAAUUUUAGUUAAUGAUACGAACAACAAAUCAAUAUUCUAAGCCCGAGCCCUGCUCAUUUUUUUAAUAAACACCAAAAAUUUAUUUUGAAAAUAAAAAAUAAAAAAAAUAUUUUAAAAAUAUUUUAAAAAUAAAAAAAAUUAAAAAUAAAUAUUUAUUAUAUAUUCAGGCCGGGCCGGGCUAGCCUUGGGCUAAAAAAAUGGUGCCCGAGGCCCGGCCCAUUUUCUAAAUAGGCCUCAUUUUUUGUCCAAACCCAUAUUUUGGGCCUAUAUUUUUACCCGAACCUCUCAUAUUUUGGGCGGACCGUCGGGCCGGACCGGGCCGCCCGGCCAUGAACACCUCUAGGGCAAAGUCACUCAAUGAAUGCAUGGAAAGAAAUAUUGCAACUUGGUGACAGCUUUUGUUGGAGUUAUAUGCUUUUUUUUACAUAGUGGAACUUUCGGUGGAUUUUCAAGUUUCAUGAACUUUAUACCCUAGGCUUUACGUGAAAAAAAUCAUUGGACUUAAAAGUCUACCAAAAGUUUCACUAUAAUAAAUAAAUAAAUAAAUAACAUUGCUACAAGACUACAACAUAAAGUUACAAUAAGAGCUUAUAACUCAACAAAGGCUAUCAAUAAAUAAUCUCAAGCAAGCUAAAGAGAAAUGUUGAGAGUACCACUCAAAUAGUGAUUGACUUUAAAAAUUGAAAACCCGAAGUUAUUGUUGACACCAUUUUUUGGAUGAAAAUGUGUCGACUUGGGUUUUGAAAAUGAAAACGAAAACGAGAGUCGCCACCAAUCCUUUUUGAUAAGGUGUGACUGGGUCACCUUGAAAAGUGGUUGUUUUUAAUAAACGAUUUGAUUUUAUUAAAACAACAGUUUUGGUCCACGAAAUUCAGAAAAAUGAGUUCGGGAGUCGGUUACGCACGAGGAAGGAUUAGCACCCUCGAUACGCCCAAAAUUGGUACCUAGUUGAUUACUUAAUGUCUUAAUGUCGAAAAUUGAAAACUUUGGAGAAUUUUAAACAUACGAUCCUUGUAUUAAAACGUUAAAAAUUUUCAAGAAAAUGGGAUAUUUCACGUUAUUCGAUAAAGAGAAUCAUAUCCUAGUAAGUUAGGACACAAUAUCUCGAAUUUCCGAUAUCAUUUAAAACUUGAGUUUGAAAAGAUUCGUGUAAUAAAGUUUAAAAUAAUAUUCAAUUGUUUAAAUCAAAUGAAGAAAUCGCAACCCAAUACGUUAGGGCACAAUUUCUCAAAAUAUUAAACAUUGAAUAUUGCAUUUAUUUCGAAAAAUCCUCAUCUCGAGAAAACGUGUCACAUCCAAUGCAUUAGAAUACAACGUAUUGAAUUCUCGAUAACGAGCUUUUUCUCAUUUUUUAAAAGAGUAAUCUCGAUUAUUUAGGUUCAACGAAGAAAAUCAAAACCCAAUACGUUAGGGCUCGAUUUUCUCAAAGAUUCCAAAUACCGAGUAUUACUUAUAUUUUUAAAAUUUCUUUUUUGAAAUCCGAGUAAAAAUGAAUGCAAAAUAAUAAAUGAUGACAAUGUAAAUAAAAUGAUACAAGCAAAACAAUAAACAAUAAAAAUAAUCAUACGGGCAAGGUAACAAAUAAUUAGGAACUAAAGAAAGAGAACAAACAAUAAUAAACAUGCAAAUAAAUGAACAAAAUUAACAACAUGAUGCAAAUAUGAAAGAUAUAUAAGCACAUAUAUAUACAUAAAAUAAUGAGAAUAUGAAAAAAUGUGUGUAAUUGGACAUGUUUCGGAAUUAUUAUACAUUUAAAAAUCAUGUAAAUGUGUGUACAUACAUAUAUACAUAUAUAAUAAUCAUUAAAUAUAUAAAAAUACAUAUGUGUAGGUAUAUAUGAGUCAUAAAAUGUAAAGAAUAUAUACAAGAUAUAUUUUGAACGUAUAAAGUAUAUGUAAAUGUAUAUAUAUAAUAAAGGUGUAUGAAAGCAUAUUUUAUAUACGUGUAUUUAUAAAAUGUAUAUAAAUGUAUAUUGAUUUACCAAUACAUAUGGAUUUAUAAUUAUAGAAUAUAUAUAAAAUAUUUACAUAUAUACGUUUAUGCAUAUAUAAAAGUAAGUUAUUAUAAAAUAUGAGCAAGCAGAAUACAUAAAUAUAUAUACAUAAAAUAAAAAUGAAGAUGAAAAUAAUAUAAAACUACUUAAUAUAUUAAUAUAAUAGUAACAAAUUAAAAAAACAGAAAAUAAAGCUAAUAAUAAUUAAUAAUAGUAGUAAUAAUUAUAGCAGCAAUGAUAAUGAUAAUAAUAAUAACACUAAAAAAAUUAAUUAAAUAAUAAAAUUGCUAAAAAGGGAUUAAAUCGAAAUAAAAACAUAAAUACUGGGCGAUUUUGAAAUAAAAAACGGGAAGGACCGAAUUGCAACGCGCGUUGAAAAGGAAAGGGCCAAAACUGCAAAUAAACCACAGCCCCAAAACGCAGCGUUGAAAUGGACCAAGUCGAAAUAAAAAUAAAAUUGCAGGGGCUAAAUUAAAAAUAAGAGAAAAUAACGAAAAAUGAUCAAAUUGUAAUACGCUGCAAAAUCAGGGGGACUGCACGCGCAAAUAGCCCAAAAACUGAAAACACGCGGAUCCUCCGGGUCGGGUCGGGUCGGGUCAGGUCGACGUGCGGAUCCCCUUUGCUAAAACGGCGUCGUUUCAUGUUUAAUAUAAAUACUAAAAAAAGCUAAAAAAAACAGUUUCAUCUUUUUUUAAAAAAAACAGAGAGAAAACUCUCUCUUUUUCCCUCAGGUCCGGCCAUGGUCCGGCUUGGGAUUUCCGACGAGUCUCCGCCGCAAAGCCACCGUGUGUGGCGGCCGGAGGUUCAAAAUCAGACCUUUUUGGUCCUUUUUUAAAGUCCAUGGCCUCCAAGCCACAGAUCCGGGGCUGAAUCUCCUGAAUCGAAAGCCGAAGACCCAAAAAAUGGGGUGAAAUCCUUCGCCUUCCUCCCCCUUCCGGCGCUGCGCAGGUAAGGUUUUUUUUAACUCCUUUUUUACUAUCUUUAUUUAUAUAUAUACAUGAAGAGAAAAGAGAGCAAAAUAAAUAAAUAAAUAAAAACUUCAAAACUGAAGAGAAAAAGACCUUGAAUCUGCCUUAUUUAUUUUCUUUCGGUUGAAUCUGUUUUUGUUUGUUACAAAAGUUUCCAGGGAAGAGAAAAAAAAAGAGAGUUACAUGCUUGGCUUUUAUAGCCGAUAUUAAUUUCUAUUUUUUGUUUUCUUUUUCCUUUCUUUUCUUUGGCUGUUGCGUGUUUGCUUCCUUAUUGCAGGGUGAUUGACGGGAGUGGUUGGCGACAGAGUCGGUGGCCACUUGCACUGAUGAAGCAGCGGUGGCGGCGCUAGGGUAGGCUAGGGACGGCGGCAGUACUAGGGUUUCAGAAAACUGAAACCCUAGUUUGACAAAUUGGUUUCGGGCCUGUUGGGCUUUAAAUUAUGGGCUUUGUAAUUGGGUUUUGGGUUUAGGUGAUUUGGGUUUAGGUGGUAUGGGCCCGGGUCAAAUUUUGGGUAAUGGGAUUGGGGCAAAAUUGGGUUGUACAGUUAUAAUAUCCCAAACGAAAUCAAACUAUAAACAUUAAAUUUUUCGAGUCUUCUAGAUACUGUAAAAAAUUCAGCUCCAACGGACACCAAAUGAACCUAUGAUCGAAGAAAAUACGAAGACUAGUCUGGCUAAAUCAAUCUGCCAAACUUACUUUUUAUCUUAUCUUUAAUUUGCUGUGAAAUUCAAAACUACGUGUAAUACUCAAUUUAUGCUCGACCCAUUUUGUUAAAACAAAUAAAAAAGAAAAGAAAAACAAAAUAUUUAAAUUUAGCCCAAAUGUCCAUUUACACAGCCCAAUUACAAUUGCAAAUAAAAAAAACUAAAACUAAACCCGAUCCUAAGCAUCAGCCCAAAUUCGACCCAUGCCCAAAACGAAUUCAGAUGCAGAAACCCUAGCCCAGCCUUAAUGCAAGCAAAAGUCGAAAGCCCUAAUAGUUGGUGCGCCGCUCCUGUAACAGCCCGAUUUUGGGCCUAGUCGGAACAGUGGUUUUGGGACCACAAAUCCGACGAGAAAAAAAUGUAAUGGCCCGAAUUUUCAGAGGUGUCAGAACGGUGAUUCGAGAUCACUAAAUUCGACAAAUGGGUAGAAAAUAUUAUUAAUUUAGUAAGUAUAAGUUAAAUGUGAAGUUAGGAAAAUUUUUGAAAUGGUGAAUAGUACACUAGAAAUAAAUAUUAAAAUAAUUAGAAUCGAAAAUGAGGUAUCGAGACCUCGGGGAUUUUAAACCGAGCCAUAAAUAUUUUUAUAAAUAUUUAUGUAGUCUUAAAAAGUUAGUAUUAAAGUUUCGUUAAGAAAUUUUAAAGUUCCGAUAAUUAAUUGAACAAAAAGGACUAAAUUGUAACAAAUACAAAAUUAUGAGAAAUGAUUAAAUAGUUUAAAUGAUAAAAGGAAGAGGGCUUAAAAGGUAAAUAGACCCAAGGUCUAUUUGGGCUGCACGGCAAAGGCAUGAAAUCAGCAACAAAGUAAGGAGAAUUAAGGGCAAAAUUGGAAUAUUGCAAAAUUUACUUAAUAAAGUUAGGACCAAAGUGGAAUUAUCUAGAUUUCUCUUUAUUUUUCUGCAUUAUCAUCAGCAUAAACACCAUAGAAGGGUUUUCUUAAGCUGGUUCUUCCUAUUUUUACUGCAGGUAAGUUCAAUUCUUGAUUAUUUCUUGAAAAUUUUGUGUUUUUGUGACUUUUACAACUAGGCCCACUUAUUGUAUUCAUUAGUUUUUGAUUCUAUGAAAGAAGUUGAAAGUUGCUAUGAAUACAUGCUGGAAGUAUAUGAUGAUUUAGCAUGGAAUUAGAGCUUUAAAUUGUUCAUAUGCUGAUUUAUUGAAAGAAUUGAAUAGAAAGUGAAUGUUUGGGACCUAAUAGUAAAAGAGUUUGAAGAUAGAGUUAUAUGUGGAAAUUCUGAAUUUCAAUAGUUGUGAAACAACUUAUAAUGUCUAGGUUAAGUAUUAAUUGAGAAAAUUAAAUUAAUUGAGGGGUUAAUUGAGAAAGGACCGAAUUGUAUAAACUGUGAAAUUUGGGGCAAAAAGGAAAUCAACAUUUUACACUAAAGCAGUUUUGGACAGCAGCAGUAGUAUAACUUUGAAAAAUCACCAAAAAUUUUGAGAAUUGAAUUAGAGGGUGAAUAAAAUAUAAAAUUAAAGCUCCUUGAAUCUAGUUUCUCAUAGAAGAAACGGUGUAAGCAAUGGAAUUGUAAAUCAUGAGAUAUAAUAAAUUUUGUGAGACAAUGUCAUAAUGAUUUCGGGUUCCCCUAUUCUGACUUUGGAAAAUCAUCAAAAAAUUAAGAAAAAUAUGAGUUAUAAUUUAUAUGAUUACAAUCCUUAAUGAGUCUAUUUUCAAAGAAAAUAAACGGAAAUAUCAUCCAAAUUCUGUACAAUUAUAUAAUUCAUUUUUAGUGAAGAGUGGUCGAAACUGUCAGACAGCGAAAUAGGGGGAACUUUAAAGAAUAAACUGUACUAUUUGGCUGAACCAAAAAUUCUGAAAAUUUUAUGGUAAGAAGGUAUGUGAGUCUAGUUUUAAGGAAAAUUAACGGAUCUUAAUUUAGAGCUCUGUAGCUCUAGAUAAAAAUAAUUUAGUGACUCUGACUCAGAUAAAUAGCUUUGAAUGUACAUGUGAGUGAAUAGUGAAAUUAUAGCUAGUGUUGUUUAAGUGUGUUAUACACAUUAAGGAUAUGGAAUGGAGAGGAGGAGGAGGAGGAAAAAUUGGGAAAUAUAUGAAUGAUUUGUGUAUAAUUGGUCAUAUGCUUAAUUAUAAUUGAUAAACGAUGAAAUAGAAAUGAUGCAUAUAUUUGUGCAGUAUUGGUCAUGGUUUAAGCUCAUGUGGGAAAAUAAAGUUUAUAGUACGUGUGUAUUAUAUUUUUGGUAUAUGAUUUGGCAUUAAGUAAUGUCGUGAAUGGAUAUUGAAUUAACACAUGUUGGAAAGUUUGAUAUAUGAAUAAAUAUUGUGAUCAUGAAAGAGUGUUACAGCUCCUGCCUUCAGCACGCGUCGAGCCUCCGCGCCAAAUCCACGUGAGCCUCCGUACACUCCAACUAGCCUCCGUACCUGCAACAAACAAAAGUAGACAAAACAACAGCAAAGGAUAGGAAGAAAAGGCAGUAAAUAGUGAAGAUUUUUCUGUAAUUUUCUUUGGAUUUCAUUAUGUAUUUUCGGCUAUAAAAGAGCCAUUAGGAAUAUUUGUAAAGGGUUUUUUUUUUACCCUCACACACAAAGAGAAUAUACACGCAUACAAGAUCAAUAUAGAGAAAGAAAUAAAAAUAAAUAAAUACAAAGAAUAGAAAAUCAAGUUUCGAAGGUGAUUCUUUGAAAAAUCCUUUUCGUUUUUCUCAUUUUUCCUUUUUCCUGGAUCUUUUGUUCAUUUCAAGUAAAAAAAGUAUAGAAAGGAAACAAGUUUAGAGGAAGGAGGUUUACCUGGACGCCGGACCUCGCUCGCCUCGUCGAAAUCGAAGGCUGAGAGGGGAUAAAUCGGUUUUGCGGCAGAAGGAAAGGGGGGCUAGGGUUCUUGUUUUAACUUUUUUAAAAAAAAUAGAAAAGGUUGCUAAUUAGGUUUUAAUGGGGGAUUUAUGUGUGUUAAAAAAACGACGUCGUUUAGCGACCUUUGACCCGUGCGGUGACCCGACCCGAGGAAAGGAUCUGCGCGUUUUGGGUCUGAUGGGUUUAUUGCGCAACAAGCCCUUCCGCAUUUGUUUUUCGUUUCAAUUCGGUUUUUAUUUGUUUUUUAAUUGUUUUCUCAUAUUUAGUUCCAAUUUCAAUUGGGUCCAUGAUUAAACGACAUCGUUUUCAUUGAUUGGGUUUGAAGGCCUGGUUUUGUGCGUCUAAAUUGCAGCAAUGGUCCCCCUGAUGUGCAAUAGUUCUCGAUUUAGUCGUCUCCACACUUAUUUCAAAGUCGUCCUUGAGAUUUUGUUUUAUUUUUGAAAUUGUCCUUGUCUUCUUUUAAUUUAUAAUGAUAUUAUUAUUAUUGUUGUUGUUAUUAUUACUAUUAAUAUGGGUAUUGUUAUCAUGUUAGUUUAUAUCUAUUUAUUUACUUUUAUUUUAUUAUGUAUUAUUAUAUAAUGCUUUUAUCAUGUAUCAUUUUAUAUAUUUUCUAUGUUAAUCUAAUAUGAUAUAUAUAUAUAUAUGUAUUUUUGUGAUCUUAUUUUAUAAUACUUUUUUAACCCAUUUAUAUGCCUUUAUGUUUUAAAGAUUUAUAAUAUUUUGUGCAAAACUAUUAUAUAUAUAUAUAGAUAUACAAUUUAUAUUAGACCAUUUUUAUCGUACAUAUACGUAUAUAUAAUUUAUAUUUUGAAACUCUAUUUUAUUAUAUUUUAUGCCUCUAUAUACAUCAUUAUAUGUUUAUUAUUCUUUAUAUUAAACCUGCCAUUUCACUUAUAUAUUUUUAAAACCAAUGUGUAUUAUUCUUUCUUCUUUGUUAUUUUUUAUCUCUUAAAAUAGAUUGAUAAUUCAUUUAAUUUUUGAAUGUUGUAUGACCGAGAUUAUCGUUGCCAUUCUUGUCCAAAUUUAUCCAUUGCUUGUUCAUAUUAUUUGAUAAUUUAUCGCUCACUAGCAUGUAUCGUAAUUUACGAAUUAUCAUUUUGAAUUAUGUACUACCAUUCAAUCGCAUUACAUUUGUUUGGAAAACAUCGAAAUCGUUUUGCACAUAAACCUUCAAAAUGCUUGGUAUCCAAAAUUCUCGAGAGGAUUGUGCCCUAAUUUAUUGGGCUUCAAUUCCCCUUUUUGAUUUUAAAUAACCGAAUACCCCUUUUUCAAUUUGAACAUAGAAAUUCCAAAAUAAAAAAAAACUCAUUCUCGGGAAUUUGAUGCGUUGUGUCCUAACGUAUUGUAUAUGACAUAUUUUUCUCGAGACGAGGAUUUUUCUAACAAAUAAAAAUAAAGGCAAUAUUCGAUAUUUAGGAAUUUUGUGAAAUCGAACCCUAACUUACUGGGUUUUGAUUUUUUCAUUUGACCCAAGUAGGAUAUCCUUCACAAAUGCACAGAUUUUAAAAAAUCAAAAGAUAAACUUAAUUUCGAGGAUUUAAAAUGUUACACUCUGACUUACUGAGUGUGUCAAUUUAUUUCUUUGAAAUAAGUGAGUCUUAUCAUCCAAUUUAUUUUAUUCAAAUUUUCUUUUCCAAGGAUCGUAUUUUAAAAUUUUUUCAAAAUUUCGACAUUAAGACAUUAAGCAAUCAAUUCAGUACCAAUUUUGGGCGUCACGAGGGUGCUAACUCUUCCUCGUGCGUAAUCGACUCCCGAACCAGUUUUCUCAAAAUUCACAGACCUAAAAUUAUUUUCAAGGUGAUCCGAUCACACCACAAUAAAAGAUCAGUGGUGACUCCCAUUCCUAUUUUUAAAAGUCGAUUCCUGUUUUUCAUAUAUAAAAAAAUGGUUUCGACACUACGGUUUUGUUUGUUUCCCUUAGAACAACUUUCAAAAAGUUAAUUUUGAAAAAUGGAUUGAAUUUUCAAAAUAGAUGAUAUUUUUUUGUGUUAAAAUUUUAUUCGUUGUUUGAAAAAAAAAUUUAAAUCAUUUUCUUAGAAUUAUUUUUAGUGAAACAAAUAUAUCAUAAAUAUAUUUGUUAUAAAAUAUUAUAUUAAUAUUUUCUUUUAACAAUUAAAAUAUAUUUUGUGAUAAGGUAAUAUUUUAUAAUAAUUAAUAUCAUAUAUACUUAAUAAUAAAUCAUGUCUAAUUAAAAUUUAAUUUCAAUUAAAUAUAUUAAUAAAGCUACAUUUAAUCAUAUUUUAUAUAAUUAAAAUAUUAAUAUAAAUAUUUUUCAAUAAUAUAUUAAAGAAUAUUUAAAAUUUAAAUUUAUUAUUACUAAGAUUAAUUAUUAAAACAAAAAUGUAAUAUUAAAUAAUUUAUCCAAUGAUAAGUUAUAUUAAUAAUUUAUUAUAUUAUUAAAUAUAAAUAAUUAAAUAUGUAUGUUUAAUAAUAUUAUGUUAUAAUAUUUAUUACUAAUAUUUUAAUAUUUUUAAACAACCAUGUUUUAAAGAUGGUGGUGAUGGUGAUGGUGCAGGCCCCCUUGUUAAAAUUACAAUAUUUUUAAGUGGGAUGCAUGUAAUAUAUUGUUAGGGUUUUAGAGUAUGUGGUCUUUAAAAGGGUUAAAUUAUAUAUUUAUAUAAUAUGAUUAUUGUUUAUAAACAUAAUAUUGUAGAUAAGUUUAUAUGUAUGUCAAUAUGUAUCCUACUCUAAGGUUAAUAUGUAUUUUUUAGAUGUGGGUUUACCUAUAUAAUAGUAUGAAUCCAUCAUGUGGUCUCAUGAAAUAUACAAACACAUAUCGUGCGAACACAAAGUACGAACAAUAAAAAAUACAAAUCAAGACCCAAUUGAAUAAUUGAAUAACGGAUAGGUAAUAAUGAAUAUCAUAACAUUUACUAUCCCCUCUUUUCUAGUGAGUUAUUGUUUAUGAUAAAUUUGCAACAAAUGUUUUUAUCAUUAUUUUGUUGGUAAAUGAUAAUAAGAUUAAACAUUACUUUCUUAAGCUCCUUCAAUUCUUUGGACGUUAGCGAGUAAACUUGAGCUUCAGCAUUCCACAAACACCUUAAUUUGAAGACACAGUUCUCUCAUACUAAAAACGACAUGGACGUUUACCUUGUAAUUAGAGAUUUGGGCUCAUUGUUGGGUUAUUAAUGAUACGGGGAUGGAGAGCUUUAAACUGGGUAUGGUUGGCCCCAAAGAGGCUCGAAACGUGCUUGAGACUAGAGGUGAUCAAGGGCCGGGUUAGGCCCAGUCUAGAAAAAAAAUUAGGCCCAUUUUUUAGAUUUGAACUCGGCUCGGCUCAAAAUAUAAGCUUAAAAAUUUGUCUAAGUUCAGUCCGAAAGAAAAUUGUUAAGCCCAAGCUCGACCCAUAUUAAAUUUUACAACACCAAAAAAGUAUAUUUAAAUAAAAAUAAAAUAUAUAUAUUUAAUAUAUAAUUCGGGCCGAGCUGAACUCGGGCCAAAAAAGUUUUACUCGGGGCUGGUCCGUUUUCUAAACAGACUUCGUUUUUUUUGCCAAAAUCCAUAUUUUUACCCGAAUCUUCCUAUUUUUUGGGGUGUGCCGUCGGGCCGAACUGGGUAACCGAACCAAUGAUCACCUCUGUAAUCACUGAAUUUUGUCCGGGAAUAACUUUCGUUAAAAAAAUUUUAAAAUUAAAAAAAAAUUAACUUUUUUGCUUUUUGACCCCUAAACUUUUCUAAAAUUUCAUUUUAACCCCUAAACUUUCUCAAAAUUACAGUUCAACCCCUAAACUUUUCUAAAUUACAUUUUGACCCCUAAAAUUUCUUAAAAUUACAUUUGGACCCUUACACUUUCUCAAAAUUACGUUUCGGCCCCAAAAUUUUUGCUACAUUUACAAAUUGGUCCUUCUGUCAGAAAAUCCCCAAUAAUCCGGCGGAUUUCGUGCACCUGCCCCACUAUUUCCGGCAGCCGGCCUAGGGCAUGGCCUUCCCCACCUGCUACCUGCAAACAAGAAGCAAAAUCAACUAUAAAAAGGAGUUUAAACUCCAAAAAUCGGACCCCCACCCACGAAAAAAAUAAAAAAAAAAAACUUGAAAGAAAAAGAAAAAAGCUUUGAGAAAGAAAAAGAAAAGGAAAAGAAGAGAGGGGAGAAGGAGAGGCCGACCAUCGGCGAGCCACCGGAGGAGGCGACGGCAGCAGCGGCAUCGACGGCGGCGUAGAAGACCGAACGGAGAAGAAGAAGAAGAAGAAAAAAAAAGAAAGAAGAGAAAGAAAGAAGGAAGAAGAAGAAGAAAGAAACAAAAAAAAAAGAAAAUAUUUUGUAAUAGUCGGCCCGGCCCGACUCGACCUGCACGACCCGUGACCCGACCCGACAGCACCAGCAACCUAGCAGGCCACGGUAGCAGCCCGGCGGCCCAAAGAGUAGCCCAAAAAGAAAAAAAGAAGAAGAACAAAGCAAAAAAAAAAAGCAGGCCAUUUUCAGCAGGCCCAGUGCAGCCCAGCAGACCCAGCGAACCCAGCAGGCCAGGCCCACACGCAAGCAGCCCAACAGAAAAAAAGGGAAAGAAAAAGAAAAGAAAAAAGAAAAAAGAAAAAAGAAGAAGAAGGGGUUCAAUUUGUAUUAUCCGUUCGGCGAAGCUCGUGUUUUGAGGAUUUUUUUUCGGUAAUUUUAUUUUUUAAUUUUAAUUUAAUGCUCGUAUUUUUUUUAAAUAUUAUUAGUAUUUUAUGCAUUUUUAUAUUUUGGCAUUUAUAUUUUUAAUUUAAUUUACUUCAAUUUUUAUUUUAUUUUAUUUUAAAUAAUUUUAAUAAAUGAGGCAACGAAUCGAUUUAACAUAAAAUCGUUGAUUUCAUUGCUAUGUUGGGUGAAUAUCAUCGGUUUGUGUUAAACACGAUACACCCUUUUUAAAAAAAAGAAAAAAAUCGAAAAAAUUCUAAAAUUCUCAUUUUUUUAAAAUUCUCGUGUUUUAAUAGAAUCACGAUUAAAUAUUAAGUUGAAUCGAUUUGGCACUAAUUCGAUGAUUUCAUCUCCAUGUAGGGAUGAAUAUCAUUUAUUCGUGUUAAAUAUGGUACUUCUGAAAAAAAAUCGGGUUUCAAAAAUUUUCGUGUUUUCAAAAAUUCUCAUGUUUCAAAAAUCUUCGUGUUUUAAAAAUUCCAGUGUUUCAAAAAUUUUCGUGUUUUCAAAAAAAAAUUUCUCGUGUUUUUAAAAAUUCCCGUAUAUCGAAAUUUUCUUGUUUUCAAAAAAAAAAUUCCAUGUUUCAUAAAUUUCCGUGUUUUCAAAAAAAAAUUCUUGUUUUUCAAAAAUUUUCGUUUUUAAAAAAUUUGACCGUGUUUCAUAAAUUUUCGUAUUUCAAAAAAACCUCGUGUUUCAAAAUUUUCGGGUUUUUUUAAAAACAAUUCGUGUUUCUAAAAUUCUCGUAUUUUAAAAAAAAUCGUGUUUUCAAAAAAAGAAAAAGUUGUUGUGCUUUAAAAUUAUCGUGUUUCAAUCGGAUCACGAUUAAUAUUAAAUUGAACUCGUAUUUUUGAAAAUGAAAACAACGCGCGUUUAACGAGAUACCAAUUUUGGGCGUCGCGAGGGUGCUAAUACCUUCCUCGCGCGUAACCGACUCCCGAACCUUAAUUUUCUCUGAAUUUUUACGUGGACCUAAAAUUACCUCUUUUUAGAAAAGUUUAAAAAUGAAUUUUUCUUCUAAAAAGAGAAUUUUGUAGGUGUCCGAUCACACCUAAAAAAAGAUCGGUGGCGACUCCUUUUUUUCAAAUAAAAUCGAGAUUCAGUUUUCAAGUUUUUAAUAAUUACUUCGACAAGCGCCCGUGCGCAAAAUUUUUAAGUCGCUACAGCCUCUACUUGAGACAACAGGGUUUUGCAGGGAAUUCUUACAGGUUCGUUUCUGGCGACAAAAAAGAGCUCUUCACUAUAAGCAUACAAACAAGAGCCAAAACUAUGCCUCUUAGUGAUGAUAUUAGGCCUUAUGUUAUUCCUUUUCAACAUCAAACCGUCAACCGGUAUGGUAUGUUUUUUUUAUUUAAUCUGCAAUUUGUGAUAAUUCUUUGUUAUUUAUGUAUGGAAUUUAUUGGGAGGAAAUGCUGGAAAGAAUUCAUUUACGAGAAUUGGUCCAAGAUCAAGGGUGAACAUUACGGACCCUGAAAAAUAAGAGAAAUACUUAACAAAUUUAAUGACUUCCAGAAGAUACGUACCAAUCCACUGCUUAAUUUGCUUGUAAGCGGCCUUGUUAACCUCGAAGGAGACCGAUGGAGCAAGCAUAGAAAAAUCAUAACCCUUGCAUUUCAUCAAGAUAAGUUGAAGGUAUAGAAUAGUAAUGGGUACUCAAGACUUUAAAGAAAACAUCAUACUUAAGCCUAUGCUUUUCUGAUUUAGAAAUAAUUGGAUGCAGAAUAUGUUGCCAGCAUUUUAUCAAAGUUGUAGUGACAUGUUUAAGCAAAUGGGAGAAGAUGGUGUGUACAGAAGGAUACAUUGAGUUAGAUGUGUCGCCUUAUCUCGUAGAUUUGACAAGAGAUGUUAUUUCCCGAUCUGCUUUUGGAAGCAGCUUCGAAGAAGGCAAACGAAUUUUCCAAUUACUAGAGGACCAACUCGUUCUCACAAUCAAAUUAAUACAAACUGUUUACAUUCCAGGAUGGAGGUAACCGUCUACUUUAAUUUACUUGAAAAAGGUUGCAAAUGUUGGAAUUGGCUAAAUUCGUGUUUGUUUUCUUGAAGGUUUUUGCCCACAAAGACAAACAGGGAGGUGAAGAUGAAACACAAAGACAUAAAAGAGUCGCUCAGGGAAAUGAUAAAAAGAAGAAAGCAGGCAAUUAAAGCAGGGGAAGAGAGUAAUGAGGACUUGUUGGACAUACUUGUGGAAUCCAAUAUCAGAGAAAUGGAAGCAAAGAAUAUGGGGAUGAGCAUUGAGGAUGUGAUUGAGGAAUGCAAGCUGUUUUACUUAGCUGGCCAGGAGACCACUUCGGUCUUACUGGUGUGGACUAUGGUUUUAUUAGCAAGGUAUCCCGAUUGGCAAAGUAAAGCAAGAGAGGAGGUUUUGCAUGUUUUGGGUGACAGUAAACCUGAUGCUGAUGGCCUUAAUCGUCUCAAAGUUGUAAGUCCCUAGCAUGUCUCUUGAAGGCCCGAUCUCUGAGGUCGACAACUCAAAAACUUGGUUCUUUGUUUCGCUAAUUCUACAGUUAACAAUGAUAUUGUACGAGGUUCUAAGGCUGUACCCACCAGUGAUUGAGCUAGGACGUUCCGUUCCAAAAGAAAUAAAACUGGGAAAUUUGUUGUUACCAGCAGGAACAGACGUUUCGGUUCCAAUCCUGCAGAUCCACCAUGACAAAGAUCUUUGGGGCGACGCCGCACGGGAAUUUAAGCCACAGCGGUUCACGGAAGGGGUUUCCUAAGCAACAAAGAGUCAAGUCACGUUUCUGCCAUUCGGAUGGGGUCCUAGGAUCUGCAUUGGCCAAAACUUUGCCAUGAUGGAAGCUAAAAUGGCGAUGGCUAUGAUUCUCCAACGCUUCUGGUUUGAGCUUUCCCCUUCCUAUGCUUACUCUCCUUACAACAUGGCAACUCUUCGUCCACAGCAUGGUGCACAGAUAAUUUUACAUAAACUUGGCUGUAAUUGAAUUGUUAUGUAAGCAAAUCUUUGUGAAAAUAUAGUGUUUUAGUGUAUCGUCAACGUCUGUCUGUAAUGGUACAAUUCCGAUGCAUGAAUAGUAAAUUUUGAGAUGUUUGGUGAAGUCCGAAAUAAUAUGCAGAAAUUGAGUGUCUAUGGUGGACAUAGUUGAGGGACUAAUGUGGUAAUUAUCAAUCAAAUAAUUCGGUACAAAGACUUAUAUGGAAAUUAAAGCAGGGGGAGUUGAAAAUGACUACUCUGCUUUGGGCAUCAAUUUAGAAAGAUUUAAAGUACAAAUGUGUUAUUAGUUAAGGGAUUUGUUUUAAAGAGGGAAUGACAAUUAAACCUCAUGGUUGAUUUGUGGAAGGGAACCAAUGAUGGGAUGAUUACUCUUAGUGGUGAAAAAAAAACUAUUAAGGUGGUUAUUAUAGUUGUUAUCACCAGCCUAAAAUUUGAAUAGGUUCAGGUCGGAUUAUAUUGAGCUUGCAAGAUUAGUUCACGGACCAAACUUGCAUGAUAAUAGGUAUUCACAACAAGAUAUCUAUAGUUUCCAACAAAGUCACAUGUGAGAUCGUGCAUUAGAACCGCAUAAACAUGUUUUAUGUUUAGAAUAUGAUAUGUGUCUAUGUGUAUAGAAUCUACCUAAUAUAUCAUAUUAAUGAAUAGUAUCAAUUGCGGAGCCAAAAAAUUAUUUGUGAGGGGUCAGAAUUAAAUUGUAUAUUUUUACAAAAAUAAAAAUUAAAUUUCACUAUUUUAAUAGUUUAUUUAUUUUUAAUUUUUAAAUGAUUAAAUUAAAUUUUAUAAAUUUUUAGGAUCAAAGUAUAAUUUUAUCAUUACUAAUUUAAAAUUUUAUAAAUUAUAAAAAGUUUAUAUGAAAAGUUUUCUAUUUUAGGGUGGCCAAAGCCCCUGUCAACUUCUGACUCGAUCACUUGCGGUUAGUUGGGUAAAGACUCAAGAAAAAUAGCGGUGUGUUUGGAUGGACGGUGCGUUUACUUGCGGUUAGUGUAAAAAUAGCGGUGGCGGUGAGAUUAGAUACUAUAGCAACACUGUAGCGUGAGACAAAAAGUAAGUUAAACGCACUGCACUGCACUUAAUCGUCUAUCUAAACUCACCAUAAGUGUCUAAAAUAUGAUUUAAGUGAAGAUACGUGGGGUAGGUGUCAUGGAAAUGUAAAAAAAAAAAAGAAUCCUACUAAUGUAUGGGAUGUGUACAAUUGAAUGCAGGAGUGAAUCAUUUGGGUAACAUUUGGACAAGAAACAUAAUGAACAAAAUGAAAGGAGAGGAAGCUAGUAAUAAAAGAUUCUUUUGGGUUAUAUAAUUUGUUUGGCAUAUAUUUUUAUAAUAUUUAAAUAUCAUUUUGGAGUUGUUGAAUUAUAAUUUAUUUUUAUGUUUUAAAACAUAAUUAUUCUAUUUUUAGAGGUCAGAGUAGAGGUGAGCAUGAGUCGGGCUACUCGGCUCGGGCUGAAGGCUUGCGCAAAAUGUGAGAGAUUUGGGUAAAAAUAUAGGCCCGAAAAAUGAGUUUAGACAAAAAAAAAUAUAAGGCCCGUUGAAAAAACAGGCUAGGCCUUGGGUAAGGCAUUUUGGCCCCAGACCCGGCCCAACCCAAAUUCACUAAGGGCACGUUUGGUUCGCUGUAUUGGAAUAGAGGCGUAAUGUAAUAGAGGCGUAAUGGAAUAGAGACGUAAUAGCAAAUCAAUUGUUUGGUUGAAUGUAAUGGAAUAGAGGCGUAAUAGUAUUCUUAUAUUUGGUUGAAUGGAAUAGAGUUGUAAUAGCAUAAGGAAAAAAGUUAAAAUGACUAGAAUACCCUUAGCAGAAAUUUGUUUAGAUAAAUGAUUAUUGUUAUUGUUAUUAAAUUUUAAUAAGAUUAUUAAUAUCAGUAAUAAAUAAUUUAAUCAUAUUUUAACAUAAUUAUUAUUAAAUAUAAUUUAAUAAAAAUAUAUAAUUUAAUAAAAUUCUUAAUAUUAAAUAUUCUUAAUAUUAAAUUACUAAAAUCAUAAUAUAUAAUACUAUAAAAUAUAAUUUAACAUAAUUAUUAUUAAAUAUAAUUUAAUAAAAUUCUCAAUAUUAAAUAUAUUCUUAUAUGAAUUUACUAAAAUCAUAAUAUAUAAUACUAUAAAAUAUAAUUUAAAAUAAUUAUUAUUAAAUAUAAUUUAAUAAAAAUAUAUAAUUUAAUCUAAAGUUUGAAUGUGUAUUUACCUAGCAAAAAUCAAUGAACUCUCGUGUAACUAUAACCUUAAUAAUAUAUGAUGUAUAAUUAAUAUUUCGUGACUAAUUAAUAGCAUAGAGAUAAAUAUAGUAAUGACGAAUUUAUAGUAUACGAUUAAAAUGCUAAUAAUUUAUAGUAUACAAUUAAAAUAUUAUAAAUAAAAUAAUAGUAAAUGAUAUAUAAGAUAAAUUAACAUAUAAAUAAUUCAGAUAUGUAAAGGAUAUGGCUGAAUAUGGUUGCUCCAAUAAUAAAGGAUAUAUAAUAUAUCAUGGUGUUGUUUUGUUUAGAUAGUUCGGUAACUUAGGAGGGUAUGUAUGAAGAACACAAGUUGAUGCAGAUAGAAAGACGACAAUAUUACAUGAUUACAAUAUGAUAUAGUAUAUAUAUAUAAUUUAUGGAUUCCUUGCAAUCACGUGGGUUCUCUAGCCAUUUUAUUUAGCAUAUCCAGUGAUAUUAAGAUCCAGAAUUAUAAUACAACUAAAAUCUGUGCACACUUAUGGAUGAUCCAACAAAGCCUCAGUUGGCUUUAGGUUCCAAAUCUUGCAACCCACAAACCAUAUUUGCUGGCACUGCAACAUCAAUCAUCUUAGGAUAUGCCAAGUUAAGAUCUGUUGCACCAACAAAAACAGAGGAGAAAUUGGAAGGCGAUCCGAAAAAACCCAAGGAUGCUUUUUCUUUUCUUUUUUUUUUAUAAUCUUUAUAGACUGGUUAUAUUGAGCAUCAACUUACUUUCCAUGAUGUUUUUGAAAGUCUCUUACAAAAAGGGUAUUCAACAAAUAAUAUAAUCAGACAUAUUGAUAGGACAAAUUGAAACUAGUAUUCUAUGAUCAUAAUAAAGAGUAAUCUUUAAUCAAAUGCGUGAAGGUAUUGAGAUGUCAUGCUUUUUCAUGAUUUCCUGUUUUACCAUGGCGAUGUUCAUUGGAAUAGUCCCAUCCAAGAGAAUCAAACCAAUGCUCAGCAAGAAAUGUUCAAUGCAUAUGUAAUUUUAAUUACAGAAGUUAUAUGCAGCUUAUAUGAGUUCAAGAUCAUAAAAUACUUCAUGGACAAAAGGAAACCCUUUCUUAUCACUGAAAUGAAAAUAGGCACUCUUAAUUUUCUAUUGUCAAAAGUAGCAAGCCAUUUUCCAAAGAAAAGGGAAGAUGGAUGGUUCCAGAAAGAAUACCUCAUCCUUUGUCAAGUGUGGAUUAUAUAGCAUCUCCUCUCCCACAGUGGUUACCUAUAAUCAAUGAGGUUUAUAAAAUCGAGCAAUCAUUUAUAUAUGUAAGAAAUGAUAGGAAUAAAGUUUUAUAUCUUACUGAGAAUCCUUUGUAGUCAUGAGCUGGAUAUAGCAAUGUCUCUUUCGGUAAUGUAAAAAUCUGGAUCCAUGAAACAAAUAAGUCCAUAAAUUUUAUUCAAAUUUUGACAAUUACAAUAAAAUUUUGAGAACUCAAAGAAUGUGACCAUAAAAAGUCCCCUGUCCUUACCUGUGAAUGCACUGACUUGUAGAGUUGCUGUGAACUUCCACCCUGCAAAAUGCAUUAAUCAGUGCUAGUCAAUGGCUACUGAAUGUGGGAGCAUUAGAGAAAAUUAUCUUAAAAACUUAAGUAUAACAAAAUUAGACAAUGACAUCCAGAUGGAAAGAAAUUGCCAGCAUAUAAGACCAGCAUUUAUGUACUCACGACUGAAAAUCCUUUGCAAAAAGUAUAGCCCUGAUAGUUCAAACUUUUACUUCAAGGAUGAUUUAAUUACUGAUUAGUUUGCCAUGAGGCUUGUGAAUGACAAACACUUUAUGUGCAACCACAGUAACAAGGUAAGCACCAAUAAGUAGAAGACUAGACGAAUAGGUAACCAAGAGUUAGAGCUAAAACAGACAAACAGAGCUACUAUCCAAUGAGCUAAAACAUACAAACAGAGGUAUAUUUUAAUAAUGAAAAUAAUCGAUUGCCUUAAACACCAUAUAGUGUUCCAAUCAAUCAAAUUAUAGCAGGCAUUAAAACCUUUCCCUUUCGUUAAUUCACAACUAUUAGCUUCAUUAAUCAAAUCCUAUGUACAGUUGAUCGAUUGAAAGUGUAACAUUUCAAAGACGAAAUUUAAACGCAAAACUGGUUAACAUUGAAAUUACAUGUAAAUAUAACCUAAAAAAUCAAAAAAUUAAUCAUAUUUUCAGAUUUCAGGCCGAAAUGGAAUGAAAUGAAAGGUAAAUCCAUUUUUUCCCCAAAAAAACAAAAAUAAAGAAAUAAUAUUUCAAGAACAGAUCAUUAAAUUCAUGGUAUAUAUAAAGAAAUUUAAUUGAAAUCAAAGGAAUAGAAGAAGGGAAAAGCGUACUUGGAACCAUUGCUGCUACUCUCUGUUACUCUGUUACCUCAUACGAUUCGUUAAAGGGUUGUUAGGGUUUGUUAAAAGGUUGGUCAGGAUAGAAGCAUGAAAAGGAGGGAGAAGGUUGGAAGGAAAUGGGAAGAAAAAUGAAAAAAAGAAGAAGAUGCUGCAACGGCUUGGAGGGUAAAAGAGGACCGAUUAGGUAAUCCUUUCUUUUGGAAGGGAUUACAAAUCGGCGCUGCAUAAGGGAAAAUGGGGAAUCAGUGCGCUGCGUAAUAGGCCCGUAUUAAGGCAAUACAGCCAACCAAACAUGGUAAUCAGUGGGGCCACGAAUUAGGGGUGUAUUGGCUAAUCCAAUACACCCAACCAAACAUGCUCUAAAGGACAAAAAAAUUUGAUUUUUUAAAUAUUAUUUUCUCUCUAUUUUGCUAUCAUUUUACUAUUAUGUUGCUACUAUGUUAUUGUUAUUUUUGAAUAUUGUAUAAAACUUAUUUUAUUGUUAAUUUUGUUAUUAUUUUAAAGACAUUUGUUAAUUUUGUUAUUAUUUUAGAGACAUUUGUUUGUUAAGUUGCAUCUAUCUUAGUGUUAUUUAAGUAUACAUAUUUUUUAAAAUUUAUUUUCAAUUUAUUGGGAAAUAUUUAUUUUGAUGUUUUUAGUAUUUUGGAUGUAUUAUAUAUAUUAAAAUUAUAUAAAAAUUAAUAUGGCCGAGCCAGGUCAGGCCCAGAUUUUAGCAUUUUUAUUCAGGUCGGGCUUGAGCAAAAUUUUAAGCCCAUUUUUUGGGCCAAACCAGGCCUGGGCUUAGCAAAUGGGCCUAAAUUUUUAGUCAAGCUCGACCUAAACCCGAUCCGGCCCAUGCUCACCUCUAGAUCAGAGCUGCCCUCGCUUUGCAUUUCUUUGAGAUUCAGUCUUAUCUACUGUUGAUUGCCCACUCAAUGGAGGGUUGAGUAGAAAGAUUUGGUGAAGCAAGCUAAGCUAUCAAUCAAGGUUGGAGAAAGCUUAGGAGGUCACAAUGCAUAAUUAUUUAAAUGUAAUUCUAAUAUUUAAAUAAAAUUUAUUAAUAUAGUAUUAACAAGCCCUAAAUGUAAUGAUUAUAUACUAUUACAUUUUUAAGAAGAGAAAACAUGUUUGAACCUUAAAAACAUCAUUAUUAAAAAUGAUAAUUACAAAUUUUAAAAUAUAAAAAAUAUAAUUAAAAAUUAAUUUUAAACCCGAGCUGGAUAAAAUUCUAAUUUUAGAUAACGAUACUAAUAAGAAAUCAAUAUUAAAAUGAAAAUGAAAAGUAAUUUAAUAUAAUUUUUGAGUCUUGGGCAAAGGCACUCAAUGAAUGCUUGGAAAGAAAUAAUGCAACUUGGUGAUAGCUUUUGUUGGAGUAAUAUGCUCUUAUUAUAGUUUUAUGUUUUUAUCUUGCAAAAACAACAUAUUGGAGUUUUCGGCAUGAUUUUUUCUUAAUACUUUACAUGAAAAAUAAUAAUGGGACUUAAAUUGCUACAAUAUUACAACACAAAGUUACAAUAAGAGCUUAUAACUCAACAAAGGCUAUCAAUAAAUAAUCUCAGGCAAGCUAAAGAGAAAUGUUGAGAAUACCACCCGAAUAGUGACUGACUUUAAAAGUUGAAAACCCGAAGCUAUAUUAUCUCAAACGAAAUCAAACCAUAAACAUUAAAAUUUUCAAGUCUACUAGUUACUGUAAAAAAUUCAGCUCCAACAGACACCAAAUGAGCCUUUGAUCGAAGAAAGUACGAAAAAUAGUCUAGGUAAACCAAGCUUCCAAACUUACUUAUCUUAUCUUUAAUUUGCAGUGAAAUUCAAAAUUAAGAUUUUGUUUAUUUCACUUGGAACAACUUUCAAAAAAUUAUUUUUGAAAAAUGAAUUGGUUUUUCGAAAUAGAUGAUAUUUUAUUGUGUCAAAAUUUUAUUCAUUGUAGGAAAACUUUUUUUAAAUCAUUUUCUUAGAGUUAUUUUUAGUUAAAUAAACAUAACAUAAAUAUAUUUGUUACAAAAAAUUAUACUAGUAUUUUCUUUUGACAAUUAAAAUUUAUUUUAUGGUAAGACAAUAUUUUAUAAUAAUUAAUAUCAUAUAUAUACGUAAUAAAAAUCAUGUUUAAUUAAAAUUUAAUUAAAAUUAGAUGUAUUAAUAAAGCUACUCCUCCACAACCCGCAUCCGCAACAGCACCAGCACCAGCACCAGCACCAGCAUCAGCACCAUGGGACAACUAUUGGGUUUCCUCCACCUGCCUCUAUCGCUCCUCCUCAGUAUUACCCCCAAGCCUACCAGACCGUGCCGGGUAUUCUACAAAUAUGAAAAAACCUUCUUCUCUUUUUAUUAGCUUAUCGAAAUGAAGGAUUUUGAGAUUUGGGCUUUUGUUAGAUGGAUGGUUAAUGAUAUUUUUUAGAUGAAAGAUACAAGUUUUUUAAUGUUUUAGAAGAAAAGGUGUUUAAAUAUUAGGAGUUUUUUAGCAGAGAAAGAAGAUAAAUAAAUGCAUAGAGAUACAUUAGCAAUAUUAUUUGGAUUUGGUUGUCUAAUGUAAUGAAGAAUUUUUUAAGGGUGACCUGAGUAGGUGUGGCAAGAUUCAAAGUUUUUUCUAUUAUAGCAGAUAUAUAUAUAUUAAUGGUUUAAGAAGACUAGAAGUCGGUUUCAAAGGAAGAUGAGAAAUAAAAGCAUUUAUAUAUAUGAUAUGUCAUUAAUUCAUAAACCAAAUAUAUAAAGUAUGUAAAAGUGUCAGGGGUUAAUCAUGGUGUUUUGACAAUCCGGUAACCUUCAACUUGAAGAAAACCUUAGGUUUCAAAAAUUUAUGUGAAGAGUUAGAAUGGUAUGCUUCAUGGAUCUGAAUAACUAGAACAGUGUAAGAGUGGUAUAUUGUGUCAAGUUUGGUUUCUUGUAUAUAAUUGUAUCGAAAACAAUGUUACAUGAGUUAAAAUGAAUGUUCAUCCAAUUUAACAAAGCCUGCAUUAUGUUGAUCAAAAUUUUUAAUUCAUGUUGAGGUUUCUUCCGUGAUAUCUUUGAUGUCAAGGUUAUGAUGUUGCUGAAGGGACACCUGUAAGAGAUAAGCCACCGUGCUGUGGCAUUGGAUUCGGAUGGUUCUUGUAAGUGUACAUAGUUUUCUUUGUUUUUAAAGAGUUCUUUACAUAUGAAGUAAAACAAGUAGCGACUUGAUGGAUAUGUCAUUAAGCUUUAACUUAAGCAAAUCAUUUUCCUUCAUCUCUAAUUGCCAUUUCUUUAAAAGAAAAAGAGGAAGUUUUGUAGUUUACAGUUUGGACAAAUGGAAGUUAAUAUAAUGCACUAUUUGGAUGGACUAUGGAGAUAUCCAAUCAUAUUGGAUGAGUUAUAAGAAACCUGUGAGUUCAUAUUGGGUUUACUUUAUAUCAUAAUUAGAUUGUUGAGCUGGCUGUCAUACUUAGAUGGUAUUUCACGUUGCUACUUGUUAAACUAUACCACUUUCACAUUCAUACGUGAAAUGGCUGGGAUUUAGUGCCAUUCUACUUAGCAGCCUCGUGUAAUACACAGGUGAAAUGUUUAUGUCUUCAUGUCACCUUAAAGUUCCCAUUUCCAUGACGGUAUUGUUAAGUAAAGACUGGUACAUACCCCAAAAUACGGAAAUUGUUUUGGAUGUAUACUAUACUUUACCAUGCAUGAUUUUUUACAAGUUUGCAUGGUAUUUUAUCAUUAUAUUGGUCUUUAUUUUCUAUACUCGCAGCUUCCAUUAAUAUAUUUUUAUGAAUUUUAUCAUUAUGCUGGUUUGAAGGUUCAUCAUUGGUUUCUUCAUUGGGGGCCAUCCCUGGUAUAUUGGAUUCUUUGUUUUACUUUGUGCAAGGAUAGACGACAGAGAGAAAGCAGGAUAUAUUGCAUGCACAAUUGCCGUGAGUAUCUUUUCUAUCAUUAUUUUUUUCUUUUCCAAUUUUAUGAAAGCCAUCCUUCCUGCCUUGUAUUGAUCAUCAAUUUAACCAUUAUAUAUAUGUAUCUUAUGUAUUUGUACCAUGCUUUAUCUUCAAUGCAAAUAUAAGUUAAACUACAAAGAUUGGAUUGUUAAAAAAAGUUUAAAAUGUUAAAAAAAUUGAAAAUUUUGAUUUUGUAAGAAUGAUAGAAAACCAAGGCCAGUGCUUGCAUAUGUUAUCUACUACAUGCACAAUCGGGUCGAUGUCUGUAUAUGUUUCAUGUUUAGAAAUCGUGUUCAAUUGGGUUACGAUAUGUACAAUUGAAGUGUCAAUUUAUAAUUUCCUUAUCAAGAUUACACAUUUUUUUGUUAAUAUUCGGAAUCACUCAAUGGUUAUAAACCCUGAUUGGAUACUGUCCACAAAGUCUAGUUGGAACAUCCCUUGUAUUCUUUGUCCUUUCUAAGAACUUUCCUUUCCAUCAUUCUCGCUUCUGUUUUUUUUUUCUUCCCUCUACUUUAAGUCAUUAUCUAACGUAGAUAUCCCUUGUAUUCUUUGUCCUUUCUAUGGCAAUCGAGUCAAUUGAUGGCAAGCCAAAAAAACAAAAAGAGCAGCUAUCCUGUCUUACUCGAUUGCCAUCCCUCCUGUUAAACACCAUUAAGAAAAGGAAAAUUUUAGUUAAGCUUUAAAACAGCCAUGUUUUAACGAUGUUGGUGAUGGUGCUUGUGCAGGCCCUUCUUGCUACAAUUACAAUUAUUCUUAGUGCAACAAUUAAAGCUGGUGGGUGAUAAAGCACACCUCUUUUGACUGAGAGAUGUAUAGGUUCCCAAAUAAUAUGUAUAUGCUCCCCCCCCUCCCUUUAUUUUAUUUUAUUUCCAGUAAGUUAUUGUUUAUGAUAAUUUGCAACAAAUGUUUUUGUCAUUAUUUUGUUGGUGAAUGAUAAUAAGAUUAAGCUUUACUUUCUUAAGCUCCAAUUCCUUGGACGUUGGUGAUUUUUUUAUUAUAGUUGAGUCAUUGUAUGGUAUUAAUAUAAUUUAUGUCGCUUAAAAUUUAUAACUAAAAAUAUAAAAUUUAAAUUUUACUUCAAUUUAUUUGUAUUUAUAAAUGGUUAAUUCAAACUUAUUUUUUUCCUCAUUAUAUUUUAUAUUUAAAUUAACAUUUAAACUAUUUUUCAUUAGCAAUGUUGUUAAGAAUUAUAUUUUUUAGCACCAACAUCAAACUUACUAAAAUUAAAUUUUUAACUAUUUAAAAAAAAUAUUUUUAGCUAUUUAUCAUCAUAGAGAAAAAAAGGUGACGUCACCACGCCUCAUGCUUCGACACCACAAACUAGACUCUCAUCACCCGUAUUUAUCAUCGAUUCAAAUUCCAGAACUACCUAAAAAUAUAUCUUCAAACUUCCUCUGGUUAAGUUCAUUGAUAGUCAACUUACUAUCAUUUCUAAAAAAAAAACAAAUAAAUUGGUUAAUAGUAAUCUCAAUGAUUCAAUUUUAUUCUUACCAGUAUCUGUCCUUUAGAAAGGGGCUUAUAAAAGGGGUAGAGGUGAGUAAACUUGAGCUUCAGCUUUCCACAAACACCUUAAUUUGAAGACACAGUUCUCUCAUACUAAAAAAGACAUGGAAGUUUACCUUGUAAUUAGAGAUUUGGUUUCAUUGCUUGUUGUUGGGUUAUUAAUGAUAUGGGGAUGCAGAACUUUAAACUGGGUAUGGCUGGCCCCAAAAAGGCUCGAAAGCUGCUUGAGACAACAGGGUUUUGCAGGGAAUCCUUACAGGUUCCUUUCUGGUGACAUAAAAGAGCUCUCAACUAUGAGCAGACAAACAAGAGCCAAACCUAUGCCUCUUAGUGAUGAUAUUGGGCCUUAUGUUGUUCCUUUUCAACAUCAAACUGCUAACCAGUAUGGUAUGUUUUUUUUGUUUAAUCUGCAAUUUAUGAUAAUUCUUUGUUAUUUAUGUAUGGAAUUUAUUGGGAGGAAAUGCAGGAAAGAAUUCAUUUACGUGGUUUGGUCCAAGACCAAGGGUGAACAUUACGGACCCUGAAAAAAUAAGAGAAAUACUUAACAAAUUUAAUGACUUCCAGAAGAUACAUACCAAUCCACUGCUUAAUUUGCUUGUAAGCGGCCUUGCUAACCUCGACGGAGACCGAUGGAGCAAGCGUAGAAAAAUCAUAAACCCUGCAUUUCAUCAAGAUAAGUUGAAGGUAUAGAAUAGUGAUGGGUAAUCAGACUUUACAGAAAACAUCAUACUUAAACCUAUGCUUUUCUGAUUUAGAAAUAAUUGGAUGCAGAAUAUGUUGCCAGCAUUUUAUCAAAGUUGUAGUGACAUGUUAAGCAAAUGGGAGAAGAUGGUGUGUACAAAAGGAUACAGUGAGUUAGAUGUGUGGCCUUAUCUCGUAGAUUUGACAAGAGAUGUGAUUUCCCGAUCUGCUUUUGGAAGCAGCUUCGAAGAAGGCAAACGAAUUUUCCAAUUACUAGAGGACCAACUCGUUCACAUAAUCAAAUUAAUACAAACUGUUUACAUUCCAGGAUGGAGGUAACCGUCAACUUAAUUUACUUGAAAAAGGUUGCAAAUGUUGGAAUUCGCUAAAUUCGUGUUUGUUUUCUUGAAGGUUUUUGCCAACGAAGACAAACAGGGAGAUGAAGAUGAAACACAGGGACAUAAAAGAGUUGCUUAUGGAAAUGAUAAAGAGAAGGGAGAAGGCAAUUAAAGCAGGGGAAGAGAGCAAUGAGGACUUGUUGGACAUACUUGUGGAAUCCAAUAUCAGAGAAAUGGAAGCAAAGAAUAUUGGGAUGAGCAUUGAGGAUGUGAUUGAGGAAUGCAAGCUGUUUUACUUAGCUGGCCAAGAGACCACUUCGGUCUUACUGGUGUGGACUAUGGUUUUAUUAGCAAGGUAUCCCGAUUGGCAAAGUAAAGCAAGAGAGGAGGUUUUGCAUGUUUUGGGUGACAGUAAACCUGACGCUGAUGGCCUUAAUCGUCUCAAAGUUGUAAGUCCCUAGCAUGUCUUUUGAAGGUCCGAUCAAUGAGGUCGACAACUCAAAAACUUUGUUUCUUUUUUCGCUAAUUCUACAGGUAACAAUGAUAUUGUACGAGGUUCUAAGGCUGUACCCACCGGUGGUUGAGCUAGAACGUUCCGUUCCAAAAGAAAUAAAACUGGGGAAUUUGUUGUUACCAGUAGGAACAGAAGUUUCGGUUCCGAUCCUGCUGAUCCACCAUGACAAAGAUCUUUGGGGCGAUGACGCACGGGAAUUUAAGCCAGAGCGGUUCGCGGAAGGGGUUUCCAAAGCAACAAAGAGUCAAGUCACGUUUCUGCCAUUCGGAUGGGGUCCUAGGAUCUGUAUUGGCCAAAAUUUUGCUAUGAUGGAAGCCAAAAUGGCGAUGGCUAUGAUUCUCCAACGCUUCUGGUUCGAGCUUUCCCCUUCCUAUGCUCACUCUCCUUACGGCAGGGCAACUCUUCGUCCACAGCAUGGUGCACAGAUAAUUUUACAUAAACUUGGCUGUAAUUGAAUUGUUAUGUAAACAAAUCUUUGUGAAAACAUAGCGUUUUAGUUUAUCGUCAAAGUCCGGUGUCUGUAAUGGUACAAAUUCGAUGCAUGAAUAGUAAAGUUUGAGAUGUUUGGUGAAGUCCGAAAUAAUAUGCAGAAAUUGAGUGUGGUAAUUAUCAAUCAAAUAAUUCGGUACAAAGACUUACAUGGAAAUUAAAGCAGGGGGAGUUGAAAAUGACUACUCUGCUUUGGGCAUCAAUUUAGAAAGAUUUAAAGUACAAAUGUGUUAUUAGUUAAGGGAUUUGUUUUAAAGAGGGAAUGACAAUUAAACCUCAUGGUUGAUUUGUGGAAGGGAACCGAUGAUGGGAUGAUUAUUCUUAGUGGUAAAAAAAACUAUUGUGGAGGUUAUUAUACUUGUUAUCAUCGGCUUAAAAUUCGAAUGGGUUCAAGUCGGAUUAUAUCGAGCUUGUAAGAUGAGUUCACGGAUCAAAUUUGCAUAAUAAAAAUACUUAAAUGAAAAAAAUUUCUAUUUUAGAGGGACCAGAGCCCCUACCAAUUCCCGGCUCAGCUACUAAACAAUACCCAUAUCAUAUAAAUAAAUACCACCAUAAAAAAAACUCAAAGAAAAACACUGACAAAUGAUAAAUAGAUAGAUGUUGGAUAAGUGUCCAAAAUAUGAUUUAAGUGAAGAUACAUGGGGUAGGUGUCACGGAAAUGUGAAUACAAGAAUACUACUAAUGGGAUGUGUACAGUUGAAUGUAGGGAGCAAAAAGAGGAGUGAAUCAUUUUGGUAACAUUGGGACAAGAAACAUAAUGAACAAAAUGGAAGGAGAGGAAGCUAGUAAAAGAAAUUUUUUGGGUCAUAUAAUUUGUUUGGCAUAUAUUUUUAUAAUUUUUAAAUAUCAUUUUGGACUUGAAUUAUAAUUUUUUUAUAUAUUAUCUUAAAAUUGUAUAAAUUUUAAGGAGUUAAAACAAAAUUAUUCUAUUUUUAGAUGGUUAAAGUAGAGAUGAUAAUGGGUUGAGCUAUUCGGCCCAGCCUGACGAUCCACCCGAAAAAUAGGAAGGUUUGGGUAAAAAUAUAGGCUUGAAAUAUGAAUUUGAGCAAAAAAAGAGGCCCGUUUAGAAAAUGGGCCGAGCCUCGGGUAAAACCUUUUGGGUCUAGACCUGACCUAAAUUAUAUAUUAAAUAUAUAUAUUUUUAUUUUUAAUCAAAUAUACUUUUGUUUUAUUAUUAAUUUGGUUAUUAUUUUAGUUCUAAUUUGUUUCAAUUUUAAUAUAACUACUUUUUAUUAUAUUUUCAAUUUGUGCAUUGUUUUAAGAAUUAUUUUAGUCUCAUUAUUUAUUUAUUUUUUAUUUUAAUAUUUGUUUUAAAAUUUUUUAUUUAUUGAAAUAAGCUAAAAAAAUUAAUAUGGGUUGGACCAGACCGGGCUCGGGCCUAGUAAUUUUCUUUUGGGCCGGACUUAAACAAAUUUUUAAGCCCAUAUUUUGAAUUGGGUCCUACACUAGAAAAUGGACCUAAAAUUUUGUAUUACCUUUAGGUCAGAGCUAUCCUCGUUUUGCAUUUCUUUGAGAUUCAGCCUUAUUUACUUUUGAUUGCCCACUCAAUAGAGGGUUGAGUAGAAAUAUUUGGUGAAGCAAGCUAAGCUAUCAAUCAAGGUGUGCAUAAUUAUUUAAAUGUAAUUCUAAUAUUAAAAUAAAAUUUUUAUUAAUAUAGUAUCAACAAGCAUUAAAUGUAAUCAUCAUAUACUAUUAAAUUUUCAAUAAGAGAAAACAAGCUUGAACUUUAAAAACGAUGUUACUAAAAACAUUAUCACAAAUCUUGAAAUAUAAAAAAUACUUUUUAAUAUAAUAAAAAAAUAAUUUUAAAACCGAGAUGAAUAAAAUUCUAAUUUUAAUUAAUGAUACCAACAACAAAUCAAUAUUUAAAUUAAAAUUUAUCUUAAUUUAAUAUAAUAAAAUUGGACUUGAAUAUUGAAUUUUUGAGUCUUGGGCAAAGUAGAGGUGCUCAUGGGCCGGGUUGGGUCGGGUUUGGGAAAAAUUUCGGCCCGCAUCCUAGGCUCGGGCUCGGCCCGACCCAAAUAUGGGCCUAAAAUUUUGUCUAGGCCUAGCCCGGCCCGGCCCAACUCAUUUUUUUUAAUAAACACCAAAAAUUUAUUUUGAAAAUAAAAAAAUAAAAAAAGUAUUUUAAAAAUAUUUUAAAAUUUUUAAAAAAUAUAUAUAUUUAUUAUAUAUUCGGGCCGGGCCAGGCCCGAGCCAAAAAAGUGGCGCCCAAGGCCCGGCCUGUUUUCUAAACGGGACUCAUUUUUUACCCAAACCCAUAUUUCGGGCCUAUAUUUCUACCCGAAUCUCUCAUAUUUAGGGCGAACCGUCGGGCCGGACCGGGCCGCCCGGCCAUGAACACCUCUAGGACAAAGUCACUCAAUGAAUGCAUGGAAAGAAAUAAUGCAACUUGGUGAUAGCUUUUGUUGGAGUUAUAUGCUUUUUUUUUACGUAGUGGAACUUUCGGUGGAUUUUCAAGUUUCAUGAACUUUAUACUCUAUGCUUUACGUGAAAAAAAAAAUUCAUUGGACUUAAAAGUCUACCAAAAGUUUCACUAAAAAAAAAACCAUUGCUACAAGAUUACAACAUAAAGUUACAAUAAGAGCUUAUAACUCAACAAAGGCUAUCAAUAAAUAAUCUCAAACAAAUUAAAGAGAAAUGUUGAGAGUACCACUCGAAUAGUGAUUAACUUUAAAAAUUGAAAACCCAAAGUUAUAAUAUCCCAAACGAAAUCAAACCAUAAACAUUAAAUUUUUCGAGUCUACUAGAUACUGCAAAAAAUUCAGCUCCAACAGACACCAAAUGAACCUAUGAUCGAAGAAAAUACGAAAACUAGUCUAGCUAAAUCAAGCUGCCAAACUUACUUUUUAUCUUAUCUUUAAUUUGCUGUGAAAUUCAAAACUAAGGUUUUGUACUUAGAACAACUUUCAAAAAGUUAAUUUUGAAAAAUGGAUUGAAUUUUCAAAAUAGAUGAUAUUUUAUUGUGUUAAAAUUUUAUUCGUUGUUUGAAAAAAAAUUUAAAUCAUUUUCUUAGAAUUAUUUUUAGUGAAACAAACAUAUCAUAAAUAUAUUUGUUAUAAAAUAUUUAUAUUAAUAUUUUCUUUUAACAAUUAAAAUAUAUUUUGUGAUAAGGUAUAUUUUAUAAUAAUUAAUAUCAUAUAUACUUAAUAAUAAAUCAUGUCUAAUUAAAAUUUAAUUUCAAUUAAAUAUAUUAAUAAAGCUACAUAUAAUCAUAUUUUAUAUAAUAAAAAUAUUAAUAUAAAUAUUUUUUUAAUAAUAUAUUAAAGAAUAUUUAAAAUUUAAAUUUAUUAUUACUAAGAUUAAUUAUUAAAAUAAAAAUGUAAUGUUAAAUAAUUUAUCCAAUGAUAAGUUAUAUUAAUAAUUUAUUAUAUUAUUAAAUAUAAAUAAUUAAAUAUGUAUGUUUAAUAAUAUUAUGUUAUAAUAUUUAUUAUUAAUAUUUUAAUAUUUUUAAACAACCAUGUUUUAAAGAUGGUGGUGAUGGUGAUGGUGCAGGCCCCCUUGUUACAAUUACAAUAUUUUUAAGUGGGAUGCAUGUAAUAUAUUGUUAGGGUUUUAGAGUGUGUGGUCUUUAAAAGGGUUAAAUUAUAUAUUUAUAUAAUAUGAUUAUUGUUUAUAAAUAUAAUAUUGUAGAUAAACUUUUAUGCAUGUCAAUAUGUAUCCUACUCUGGGGUUAAUAUGUAUUUUUAGAUAUGGAUUCACCUAUAUAAUAGUAUGAAUCCAUCAUGCGGUCUCAUGAAAUAUACAAACACAUAUCGUGCGAACACAAAGUACGAACAAUAAAAAGUACAAAUCAAGACCAAUUGAGUAAUUGAAUAGCAGAUAGGUAAUAAUGACUAUCCCCUCUUGUUUGAAUUUAUUUUAUUUCCAGUGAGUUAUCGUUUAUGAUAAAUUUACAACAAAUGUUUUUAUCAUUAUUUUGUUGGUAAAUGAUAAUAAGAUUAAACUUUACUUUCUUAAGCUCCUUCAAUUCUUUGGACGUUAGCAAGUAAACUUGAGCUUCAGCAUUCCACAAACACCUUAAUUUGAAGACACAGUUCUCCCAUACUAAAAACAACAUGGACGUUUACCUUGUAAUUAGAGAUUUGGGCUCAUUGUUAGGUUAUUAAUGAUACGGGGAUGGAGAGCUUUAAACUGGGUAUGGCUGGCCCCAAAGAGGCUCGAAACGUGCUUGAGACUAGAGGUCCAGGCAAAUUUUUAGGCCCAUUUUUUAGGCCUGGACUGGGCCCGACUCGAAAUAUGAGCUUAAAAAUUUGUCUAAGUUCGGUCCAAAAGAAAAUUGUUAAGCCUAAGCCCGGCCCAUAUUAAAUUUUACAACACCAAAAAACUAUAUAUUUAAUAUAUAUAUUUGAUUAAAAAGUAUAUUUAAUUAAAAAUAAAAAUAUAUAUUUAAUAUAUAAUUCGGGCCGGGCCGAACUCGGGCCAAAAAAGUUUUACUCGGGGCUGGUCCGUUUUCUAAACAGACCUCGUUUUUUUGUCAAAAUCCAUAUUUUAGGCUUAUAUUUUUACCCGAAACUUCCUAUUUUUCGGGUGAACCGUCAGGCCGGACUAGGUAGCCCAACCAAUGAUCACCUCUACUUGAGACAACAGGGUUUUGCAGGGAAUUCUUACAGGUUCGUUUCUGGCGACAUAAAAGAGCUCUUCACUAUAAGCAUACAAACAAGAGCCAAACCUAUGCCUCUUAGUGAUGAUAUUGGGCCUUAUGUUGUUCCUUUUCAACAUCAAACCGUCAAUCAGUAUGGUAUGUUUUUUAAUUUAAUCUGCAAUUUAUGAUAAUUCUUUGCUAUUUAUGUAUGGAAUUUAUUGGGAGGAAAUGCUGGGAAGAAUUCAUUUACGUGGAUUGGUCCAAGAUCAAGGGUGAACAUUACGGACCCGGAAAAAUAAGAGAAAUACUUAACAAAUUUAAUGACUUCCAGAAGGUACGUACCAAUCCACUGCUUAAUUUGCUUGUAAGCGGCCUUGUUAACCUCGAAGGAGACCGAUGGAGCAAGCAUAGAAAAAUCAUAACCCUUCAUUUCAUCAAGAUAAGUUGAAGGUAUAGAAUAGUGAUGGGUACUUAGACUUAAUUUACAGAAAACAUCAUACUUAAAUCUAUGCUUUUCUGAUUUAGAAAUGAUUGGAUGCAGAAUAUGUUGCCAGCAUUUUAUCAAAGUUGUUGUGACAUGUUAAGCAAAUGGGAGAAGAUGGUGUGUACAGAAGGAUACAGUGAGUUAGAUGUGUGGCCUUAUCUUGUAGAUUUGACAAGAGAUGUGAUUUCCCGAUCUGCUUUUGGAAGCAGCUUCGAAGAAGGCAGACGAAUUUUCCAAUUACUAGAGGACCAACUCGUUCUCACAAUCAAAUUAAUACAAACUGUUUACAUUCCAGGAUGGAGGUAACCCUCAACUUAAUUUACUUGAAAAAGGUUGCAAAUGUUGGAAUUGGCUAAAUUCGUGUUUGUUUUCUUGAAGGUUUUUGCCAACAAAGACAAACAGGGAGAUGAAGAUGAAACACAGACAUAAAAGAGUCGCUUAGGGAAAUGAUAAAGAGAAGGGAGAAGGCAAUUAAAGCAGGGGAAGAGAGCAAUGAGGACUUGUUGGACAUACUUGUGGAAUCCAAUAUCAGAGAAAUGGAAGCAAAGAAAAAGGGGAUGAGCAUUGAGGAUGUGAUUGAGGAAUGCAAGCUGUUUUACUUUGCUGGCCAGGAGACCACUUCGGUCUUGCUGGUGUGGACUAUGGUUUUAUUAGCAAGGUAUCCCGAUUGGCAAAGUAAAGCAAGAGAGGAGGUUUUGCAUGUUUUGGGUGACAGUAAACCUGAUGCUGAUGGCCUUAAUCGUCUCAAAGUUGUAAGUCCCUAGCAUGUCUCUUGAAGGUCCGAUCUCUGAGGUCGACAACUCAAAAACUUGGUUUCUUUGUUUCGCUAAUUCUACAGUUAACAAUGAUAUUGUACGAGGUUCUAAGGCUGUACCCACCAGUGAUUGAGCUAGGACGUUCCGUUCCAAAAGAAAUAAAACUGGGAAAUUUGUUGUUACCAGCAGGAACAGACGUUUCGGUUCCAAUCCUGCAGAUCCACCAUGACAAAGAUCUUUAGGGCGACGACGCACGGGAAUUUAAGCCACAGCGGUUCACGGAAGGGGUUUCCUAAGCAACAAAGAGUCAAGUCACGUUUCUGCCAUUCGGAUGGGGUCCUAGGAUCUGCAUUGGCCAAAACUUUGCCAUGAUGGGAACCAAAAUGGCGAUGGCUAUGAUUCUCCAACGCUUCUGGUUCGAGCUUUCCUCUUCCUAUGCUUACUCUCCUUACAACAUGGCAACUCUUCGUCCACAGCAUGGUGCACAGAUAAUUUUACAAAAACUUGGCUGUAAUUGAAUUGUUAUGUAAACAAAUCUUUGUGAAAAUAUAGUGUUUUAGUGUAUCGUCAAAGUCUGCCUGUAAUGGUACAAUUCCGAUGCAUGAAUAGUAAAUCUUGAGAUGUUUGGUGAAGUCCGAAAUAAUAUGCAGAAAUUGAGUGUCUUGAAUGGAUGUAGUAUUUAAUGGUGGACAUAGUUGAGGGACUAAUGUGGUAAUUAUCAAACAAAUAAUUGCAUAUGGUACAAAGACUUGUAUGGAAAUUAGAGCAGGGCGAGUUGAAAAUUACUACUUUGCUUCGGGCAUCAAUUUAGAAAGAUUUAAAGUACAAAUGUAUUAUUAGUUUAAGGGAUUUGUUUUAAAGAAGGAAUGACAAUUAAACCUCAUGGUUGAUGUGUGGAAGGGAACCAAUGAUGGGAUGAUUACUCUUAGUGGUAAAAAAAAAAACUAUUAAGGUGGUUAUUAUAGUUGUUAUCACCGGCCCAAAAUUCGAAUAGGUUCAGGUCGGAUUAUAUUGAGCUUGUAGAUGAGUUUGCAUGAUAAUAGGUGUUCACAGAAAGAUAUCUAUAGUUUCCUACAAAGUCACAUGUGAGAUCGUGCAUUGGGACCGCAUAAAAAUGUUUUAUGUUUAGAAUAUGAUACGUGUCUAUGUGUAUGGAAUCUACCUAAUAUAUCAUAUUAAUUAAUAGUAUCAAUUGCGGAGCCAAAAAAUUAUUUCUGAGGGGUCAGAAUUAAAUUGUAUAUUUUUACAAAAAUAAAAAUUAAAUUUCACUAUUUUAAUAGUUUAUUUCUUUUUAAUUUUUAAAUGAUUAAAUUAAAUUUUUAUAAAUUUUUGGGAUCAAAGUACAAUUUUAUCAUUUCUAAUUUAAAAUUUUAUAAAAUAUAAAAAGUUUAUAUGAAAAGUUUUCUAUUUUAGAGUGGCCAAAGCCCCUGCCAACUUCCGACUCGAUCACUAAACAAUAUAAAUAAAUAAAUACCACCAUCUAAAAGACUCAAGAAAAACACUCAACGAUAAAUAGAUAGAUGUUGGGUAAAGAUACGUUUGGAUGGGCGGUGCGUUUACUUGCGGUUAGUAUAAAAAUAGCGGUGGCGGUUAGAUUAGAUACUAUAGCAACACUGUAGCGUAAGACAAAAAAUAAGCUAAACGUACUGCACUGCACUUAAUCGCCCAUCCAAACUCACCCUAAGUGUACAAAAUAUGAUUUAAGUGAAGAUACGUAGGGUAGGUGUCAUGGAAAUGUAAAAGACAAGAAUCCCACUAAUGUAUGGGAUGUGUACAGCUGAAUGUAGGGAGCAAAGAGGAGUGAAUCAUUUUGGUAACAUUUGGACAAGAAACAUAAUGAACAAAAUGAAAGGAGAGGAAGCUAGUAAAAGAUUUUUUUGAGUUAUAUAAUUUGUUUGGCAUAUAUUUUUAUAAUUUUUAAAUAUCAUUUUGGAGUUGAAUUAUAAUUUCUUUUUAUGUUUUAAAACAUAAUUAUUCUAUCUUCAAAGGGUUAGAGUAGAGGUGAGCAUGGGUCGGGCUACUCGGCCCGAAAUGUGAGAGAUUUGGGCAAAAAUAUAGGCUCAAAAAAUGGACUUGGACAAAAAAAUAUAAGACCCGUUGAAAAAUGGGCCGGGCAUUGGGUAAGGCAUUUUUGGCCCUGGGCCCGGCCCAAUCCUAAUUCACUAAAGGACAAAAAAAAUUUGAUUUUUAAAUAUUAUUUUCUUCCUAUUUUGCUACCAUUUUACUAUUAUGUUGCUACUAUUUUGUUGUUAUUUUUUGGAUAUUGUAUAAAACUUAUUUUAUUGUUAAUUUUGUUAUUAUUUUAAAGACAUUUGUUAAUUUUGUUAUUAUUUUAGAGACAUUUGCUUGUUAAGUUGUAUCUAUCUUAGUGUUAUUUAAGUGUACAUAUUUUUUAAAAUUUAUUUUCAAUUUAUUGGGAAAUAUUUAUUUUGAUGUUUUUAGUAUUUUGGAUGUAUUAUAUAUAUUAAAAUUAUAUAAAAAUUAAUAUGGCCGAGCCGAGUCAGGCCCAGAUUUUAGCAUUUUUAUUCAGGUCGGGCUUGAGCAAAAUUUUAAGCCCAUUUUUUGGGCCAAACCAGGCCUGGGCUUAGCAAAUGGGCCUAAAUUUUUAGUCAAGCCCGACCUAAACCCGAUCCGGCCCAUGCUCACCUCUAGAUCAGAGCUGCCCUCGCUUUGCAUUUCUUUGAGAUUCAGUCUUAUCUACUGUUGAUUGCCCACUCAAUGGAGGGUUGAGUAGAAAGAUUUGGUGAAGCAAGCUAAGCUAUCAAUCAAGGUUGGAGAAAGCUUAGGAGGUCACAAUGCAUAAUUAUUUAAAUGUAAUUCUAAUAUUUAAAUAAAAUUUAUUAAUAUAGUAUUAACAAGCCCUAAAUGUAAUGAGUAUAUACUAUUACAUUUUUAAGAAGAGAAAACAUGUUUGAACCUUAAAAACAUCAUUAUUAAAAAUGAUAAUUACAAAUUUUAAAAUAUAAAAAAUAUAAUUAAAAAUUAAUUUUAAACCCGAGCUGGAUAAAAUUCUAAUUUUAGAUAACGAUACUAAUAAGAAAUCAAUAUUAAAAUGAAAAUGAAAAGUAAUUUAAUAUAAUUUUUGAGUCUUGGGCAAAGGCACUCAAUGAAUGCUUGGAAAGAAAUAAUGCAACUUGGUGAUAGCUUUUGUUGGAGUAGUAUGCUCUUAUUAUAGUUUUAUGUUUUUAUCUUGCAAAAACAACAUAUUGGAGUUUUCGGCAUGAUUUUUUCUUAAUACUUUACAUGAAAAAUAAUAAUGGGACUUAAAAAUCUAUCAAAAGCUUCACCAUAAUAAUAAUAAUAAUAAUAAUAAUAAUAAAUUGCUACAAUAUUACAACACAAAGUUACAAUAAGAGCUUAUAACUCAACAAAGGUUAUCAAUAAAUAAUCUCAGGCAAGCUAAAGAGAAAUGUUGAGAAUACCACCCGAAUAGUGACUGACUUUAAAAGUUGAAAACCCGAAGCUAUAGUAUCUCAAACGAAAUCAAACCAUUAACAUUAAAAUUUUCAAGUCUACUAGCUACUGUAAAAAAUGCAGCUCCAACAUACACCAAAUGAGUCUUUGAUCGAAGAAAGUACAAAAACUAGUCUGGGUAAACCAAGCUGCCAAACUUACUUAUCUUAUCUUUAAUUUUGCAGUGAAAUUAAAAAUUAAGUUUUUGUUUAUUUCACUUGGAACAACUUUCAAAAAAUUAUUUUUGAAAAAUGGAUUGGUUUUUCGAAAUAGAUGAUAUUUUAUUGUGUUAAAAUUUUAUUCGUUGUUGGAAAACUUUUUUUAAAUCAUUUUCUUAAAGUUAUUUUUAGUGAAACAAACAUAACAUAAAUAUAUUUGUUACAAAAAAAUUAUAUUAGUAUUUUCUUUUGACAAUUAAAAUUUAUUUUAUGAUAAGACAAUAUUUUGUAAUAAUUAAUAUCAUAUAUAUAUACGUAAUAAAAAAAUCUUGUUUAAUUAAAAUUUAAUUAAAAUUAAAUAUAUUAAUAAAGCUACAUAUAAUCAUAUUUUUUAUAAUUAAAAUAUUAAUAUAAAUAUUUUUCAAUAAUAUAUUAAAAUAUUAAAAUUUAAAUUAUUAUUACUUAAAUUAAUUAUUAAAAUAAAAAAUUUAAUAUUAAAUAAUUUAUUCAAUGAUAAGUUUUAUUAAUAAUUUAUUGUAUUAUUAAAUAUAAUUAAUUAAAUAUGCAUAUUUAAUAAUAUUACGUUAUAAUAUUUUAAUAUUCUUAAACAGCCAUGUUUUUAAGAUGCUGGUGAUGGUGAUGCUGCGGGCCUCUCUUGUUACAAUUACUAUAAUUUUUUGUGCAAUAAUUGAAGUUGUUGGGUGGUCAAGCAAACCUCUUUUGACUGAGAUGCAUAUAAUAUACCCGCAUGUCCCCGCCUCCUAAAAUUUAAAUUUGUUAUUUGAAUCUUUAAAUUUUUUAAUAUAAUAUACCCGCAUGUCCCCGCCUCCUAAAAUUUAAAUUUGUUAUUUGAAUCUUUAAAUUUUUUAAAAAUUUUAAAUUCAUAAAAGUAAAAUUAUACUUUGACCCUCUAAAAUUAUAAAAAUUUAAUUAAUCUUUUAAAUUCAUUGGGCCCCUAAUAUAUUGUUCAGGCUUCACCCUUGAUACUGAUGUUGACUAUUUUAGAGUAUGUGUCUUCUUUAACAGGGUUAAAUUAUAUAUUUAUAUAAUAUAGUUAUUGUUUAUGGACGUGACAUCGUAACUAGGUUCUUAUGCAUGUCAACAUAUAUCCUAUUUUAAGGUUAACACGUAUUUUUAAAUGUGAAUUCACCUAUAUAAUGGUAUGAACCAUCAUGCAGUCUCAUAAAAUAUGCGAAUAUAUGUCGUGCGAACACAAAGUACAAUCCACACAGAAUACGAAUUAAGACCCAAUUGAAUAAUCGGAUACGAAUCAGUAAUAAUGAAUUUCAUAACAGCCACCAACCCCUCUUUUGUUUUAAUUUAUUUUAUUUCCAGUAAGUUAUUGUUUGUGAGAAUUCACAACAAAUGCUUUUGUCAUUAUUUUGUUGGUAAAUAAUAAUAAGAUUAAACUUUACUUUCUUAAGCUCCUUCAAUUCUUUGGAAGUUGGUGGUUUUUUAUUCUAAUCUUAUUUUUUUUAUUAAUUUCUUUUUUUAUAAUAAAUGUGUUUAUAGAUCAGGUUGGAUUAUAAUUGAAUCAUUGUCUGGUAUUAACAUAAUUUAAAUCGAUUAAAAUUUAUUCGACUGGAAAUAUAAAUUUAAAAUUUUACUUCAAUUUAUCUUAAUUUAUAAAUUGUGAAUUUAAAUUUAUUUAUUUUCUCUCAUUAUAUUCAGUUUUUCGGAUCAUAUUUGGCCCAGAACAAAAACUAGAACAAAAAAACAAAUAUAUAUGUUUUCCAAAAAUUAAAUUGUUAACUUUAAAAAAAUAUAUUUUUAGCUAUUUAUCAUCAUAGAGAAAAACAAAUAAGGUCACCUCGCCUUAUGCUUCAACACCUCAACCUAGAUUCUCAUCACCUGUAUUUAUCAUCGAUUCAGAUUUUUAUUUUUACUAUAUUCUAGAUCUACCUAUAAAUAUAUCUUCAAACUUCCUCUGGUUAAGUUCAUUCAUAGAUAGGUGAGUAAACUUGAGCUUCAGCUUCAACAAACACCUUAGUUUGCAAUUCUCUCAUACUAAAAAUAUGGAAGUUUACCAUGUAAUUAGAGAUUUGGUCUCAUUGCUUGUUGUUGGUUUAUUAAUGAUAUGGGGAUGGAGAGCUUUAAACUGGGUAUGGUUGGCCCCAAAGAGGCUCGAAAGGUGCUUGAGACAACAGGGUUUUGCAGGGAAUCCUUACAGGUUCCUUUCUGGUGACAUAAAAGAGCUCUUAACUAUGAGCAGACAAACAAGAGCCAAACCUAUGCCUCUUAGUGAUGAUAUUGGGCCUUAUGUUGCUCCUUUUCUUCAUCAAACUGUCAACCAGUAUGGUAUGUUUAAUUAUUAUUUAAUCUUCAAUUUAUGAUAAUUCUUUGUUAUUUAUGAAUGGAAUUUAUUGGGAGGAAAUGCAGGAAAGAAUUCAUUUACGUGGAUUGGUCCAAGACAAAGGGUGAACAUUAUGGACCCUGAAAAAAUAAGAGAAAUAUUUACCAAAUUUAAUGACUUCCAGAAGGUGCGUACCAAUCCACUGCUUACUUUGCUUGUAAGCGGCCUUGUUAACCUCGAAGGAGACCGAUGGAGCAAACAUAGAAAAAUCAUAAACCCUUCAUUUCAUCAAGAUAAGUUGAAGGUAUAGAAUAGUGAUGGGUACUUAAGACUUAAUUUACAGAAAACAUGAUACUUAAAUCUAUGCUUUUCUGAUUUAGAAAUGAUUGGAUGCAGAAUAUGUUGCCAGCAUUUUAUCAAAGUUGUUGUGACAUGUUAAGCAAAUGGGAGAAGAUGGUGUGUACAGAAGGAUACAGUGAGUUAGAUGUGUGGCCUUAUCUUGUAGAUUUGACAAGAGAUGUGAUUUCCCGAUCUGCUUUUGGAAGCAGCUUCGAAGAAGGCAGACGAAUUUUCCAAUUACUAGAUGACCAACUCGUUCUCAGAAUCAAAUUACUACAAACUGUUUACAUUCCAGGAUGGAGGUAACCCUCAAUUUACUUGAAAAAGGUUGCAAAUGUUGGAAUUGGCUAAAUUCGUGUUUGUUUCCUUGAAGGUUUUUGCCCACAAAGACAAACAGGGAGGUGAAGAUGAAACACAAAGACAUAAAAGAGUCGCUCAGGGAAAUGAUAAAAAGAAGAGAGCAGGCAAUUAAAGCAGGGGAAGAGAGCAAUGAGGACUUGUUGGACAUACUUGUGGAAUCCAAUAUCAGAGAAAUGGAAGCAAAGAAAAAGGGGAUGAGCAUUGAGGAUGUGAUUGAGGAAUGCAAGCUGUUUUACUUUGCUGGCCAGGAGACCACUUCGGUCUUACUGGUGUGGACUAUGGUUUUAUUAGCAAGGUAUCCCGAUUGGCAAAGUAAAGCAAGAGAGGAGGUUUUGCAUGUUUUGGGUGACAGUAAACCUGAUGCUGAUGGCCUUAAUCGCCUCAAAGUUGUAAGUCCCUAGCAUGUCUUUUGAAGGUCCGAUCAAUAAGGUCGACAACUCAAAAAUUUGGUUUCUUUUUUCGCUAAUUCUACAGUUAACAAUGAUAUUGUACGAGGUUCUAAGGCUGUACCCAUCAGCGACUGAGCUAGGACGUUCCGUUCCAAAAGAAAUAAAACUGGGAAAUUUGUUGUUACCAGCAGGAACAGAAAUUUCGGUUCCGAUCCUGCUGAUCCACCAUGACAAAGAUCUUUGGGGCGAUGACGCACGGGAAUUUAAGCCAGAGCGGUUCGCGGAAGGGGUUUCCAAAGCAACAAAGAGUCAAGUCACGUUUCUGCCAUUCGGAUGGGGUCCUAGGAUCUGCAUUGCCCAGAAUUUUGCUAUGAUGGAAGCCAAAAUGGCGGUGGCCAUGAUUCUCCAACGCUUCUGGUUCGAGCUUUCCCCUUCCUAUGCUCACUCUCCUUGCAGCAUGGUAACGCUUCGUCCACAGCAUGGUGCACAGAUUAUUUUACAUAAACUUGGCUCUAAUUGAGUAGUUAUGUAAACAAAUCAUUGUGAAAAUAGUGUUUUAACGUAUCGUAAAAACUCCGGUGUCUGUAAUGGAACAAUUCCGAUGCAUGGAUAGUAAAUUUUGUGAUGUUUGGUGAAGUCCGAAAUAAUAUGCAGAACUUGAGUGUCCUGAAUGGAUGUAGUAUUUAAUGGUGGACAUAGUUGAGGGACUAAUGUGGGAAUUAUCAAACAAAGAAUUGCAUAUGGUACAAAGACUUGUAUGGAAAUUAGAGCAGGGGGAGUAGAAAAUGACUACUUCUACGGGCAUCAAUUGAGAAAGAUUUCCGGUGCAAAUGUUAGCAAAUUUUUGAGCUUCAGCCUUAAACAUUAGCAAGAUUGCAAUACCGGGAUUAUCUAGUGUUGGUUGCCCACUCAAUUGAGGGUUAAGUUGAAGGAUUUGUUGAAGCAAGCUAAGCUAUCAAUCAAGGUUGGAGCAAGCUUAGGAGGUCACAAUACAUCAUUAUUGCAUAAUUAUUUAAAUGAAAUUUAAUAUUUAAAUAAAAAAUAUUAAUAUAGUACCAACAAUAUUCCAUUUCUUUUAACCAAGUGUUUCUAGAUUAUGAAAUUCAUUAAUGAUUUGUAAAAUAUAUUGAUGCGAUCCCGGCCGCAUCAUGUUUCGAUACAACUCGAUGACCUCAGAAUUGACCUAAACUCUAGGGGCCCAAGUGCAAAAUGAAGCUUAAUUUCAGCUCAAUGAGCUCAAUUCUAGCUUCUUCAAGCUCGUCUAGUUCAACCCAAGCUCAUUUAGCUUAACUUCAACCCAUUUUUAAUUUGUUGGAAUAAGUAUUUAGUUGCUGGAAUAAAUUACUCAUCUUAGUUAAUUGAGUUCAUCUUAGUUAAUUAAGUUGUUGGAAUAUAUUACUCAUCUUAGUUAAUUUAGUUGCUAGAAUAAUUUAUUGUUGCAUGUGUUUUUAAGUUUAUUAAAUUCAGUUAAGUGUUAAAUGUGUUUAUUUACAGUUUAUUAACUAAGCUUGUUAAGUCUAAUAUGUGUUAAAAUGUGUUUAAUGUGUUUGUUUGUAGGUGACUAAUCAGUUGGAAACAAUUAUGUACAAGGGCUGUUACAAAGUGUUAAAUGCGACUAUUCAUUUGGAAUCGGUUACAUACAAGGGGCUAUUACAUUAUUUAAAGGAGAGCAUUAUACAUCAUUUAAAGGAGAAUUUAAAGCUUUUCUUAAAACUUUUUGGCUGCUCAAGAAUGAAAUCUAAGCAUUCAAGCUUAUUAAAUCAACUGAAUUAGAACAUUAAAUGAUCUUAUUGAUAGUUGCUGUUAUUUAGGCCUAGAAUUUCAAGAGUUUGUGCUUAGUGACUAAGUUAAUUUCAGCUCAUUAUUAGCUCAUUAAGCUGAACAAAAGUGACUAUUCGGCUAGGCCUCAUCUAGCACUAUAAAUACUUGUAAUCAGCUCAUUGUAAAAAAAACUUUUUGCUGAAUUUAUGCUAAAUUUGAAACUUGUGAGAUUUCCAAUUCUCGUUGUUCUUUCGAGAUUGAAUUGACUUAUCAAGUUUUCUUGUGGCAUCAUUCUUUCUUUUGUUUAAACCGAAUCUUAUCACCUUUUGGUGUGGCGUUCAUAUACAUUUGGUUCCUAUCACUUUUGAUAGUGGGUAAAGGUCAUUGCUGCUUUCUUUAAAUCGUAAAUCACCUAAGAGCCAUUUUGAGACUCGGGUCAACAAUCUAAUAUUGUUGGUUCAUUCUCGGUCUUAGCCAAAUUAUCCAUUAUUUACUUAACCAUUUUACCUACUACCAUUGUUUGAAGCCAUUUAUCCUAUUUUGUUUCAUUUAACUGAAACGAACUUAUCCUUACUCAAUUCACGAUCGGGUAAUCUAAACGACUCGAAUCAUUCCGAAACGAGUUCGUAUCAUAUAUCCUCCAUUCUUAUUGAGUGGGUGUAAUGAAAAUUCUCCUAUUUCUAAUUGUGAUAAAGUAGAAACUCUCUUUAGAAAAAAGGCAGCAACAUUUUUCAAUUAUUAAUUGAACACCUUGGUGAAUUUUCGUUUUUUUUCUUUUUUUCUUUUUACGGUUCAAUUUUCGUUUGGGUAUUGUAAUUUCAGGUUAAUCAUUGUUUGGUUGAUAUUCUCAACUUCAAUCUUUAAUUUACUUGAGAUUAUUAGUUGAUUGUUUUUGUUGGAAUUAUAUGAUUUUAUUGUGUAUUUAUGUUUUAAUCUUUUAGAAAGAAGUUUUUAUGUGGACUUUCAAGCUUCGUAAUUUUUAUUAUUUGCUUUACGUAAAAAAAACUCGUGGGAUACAAAAAUUCACAAAAAAACUUGCUAUAAGAUUACAACACAAAACCAUAAGCUUAUAACUCAACAAAAGCUAUCAAUAAAUAAUCUCAAGCUAGCUAAAGAGAAAUGUAAAGAAUAUCACCCAAACAGUAACUUGCUUUAAAAGUUAAAAAUCCAAAGUUAUAGUACCCCAAACGAAAAUCGAAUAUUAAACAUUAAAGAUCUUCGAUUCUACUAGCUAUUGUAAAAAAAAAAAAUUCCAACGGACACCAAAUAGACCUUUGAUCGAAGAAAAUACGAAAACUAGUCUGGUUAAAACUACAUGCCAAACUCACUUUUUCUCAUUUCUUUAACUUGCGGUGAAAUUCAAAACUAAGGUUAUAUUUUUUUCACUGAAAUUAACUUUAAAAAAAUUAUCUCUAAAAAAUGAUUGAUUUUUCAAAAAAGAUUGAUAUUUUUUUAUGUUUGGAUGAUUUUUUGUAAAAUAUAUUUCGUUGUUUGACAAAUUUUUUUGAAAUAAUUUUCUUAGAGUUGUUUUUAGUAAAACAAACAUAAGAUAGAUAUAUUUGUUACAAAAGAUUAUAGUAACAUUUUCUUUUGACAAUUUAAAUUUAUUUUAUAACCAGAUGAUAUUUUAUAAUAAUUAAUAUUAUAUAUAAACUUAAUAAUAAACAAUAUCUAAUUAAAACUUAAUUUAUAUUAAAUAUAUUAAUAAAGCUAAGUAUAAUUUAAACAAAUACUCAUGUUUUAUAUCAUUAAAAUAUUAAUAUAAAUAUUUUUCAAUAAUAUAUUAAGAAUAUUAUUUAAAAUUUAAAAUUAUUAUUUUUAAAAUUAAUUAUUAAAAUAAAAAUGUAAUAUUAAAUAAUUUAUCAAAAUGAUAAGUCAUAUUAAUAAUUUAUUAGAUUAUUAAAUAUAAAUAAUUAAAUAUGUAUAUUUAAUAAUAUUGAACAUUAUAAUAUUUUUUAUUAAUAUUUUAAUAUUAUUAAUAUAAUAAUAUUGGACUUGAUUCAAGUUAAUUUUUAUAUAAAAAAAUAAAAUUACAUGUAAAUGAACUCAUUUUCAAAAAAAUAACUUGUACUUUUAAAAAAGGUAAACUAAUUUACAGAAAAAUAAACUUAUUUUCUGUUAAUCUAUAAUUUUUUUUGUUAAUCAAAUUAUUUUCAUGAAAUAAAUAUAAAAAAAUACAAAAAAAAAACAGUUUCCAUAUUAACACUCAAUACUAAACUGUCAUUUUCCUCAGCUUCCCUAAUUUGUAUGUAGCAGUGAACGUUUGAUCGAAUCGAGUAAAAAAAAUUGAGUUGACGAGUCAUAUUUUAUCAUCUUAACUUGAUUUGAGAUUUUUUUAAAUCAAGUCAAAGACUAAGAGCACAUAAAUUUGAAACCUUAUCUAUUUGAAUUUGUUUUUAAAAAAAAAGAAAAAAAAUACUUUAGCAUGAUAAACUUGAAUUGUGAAUUAACUUAUUUAGAUCCCAAAAUUAUUAUUUUAUAAUUUUUUUAAAAAAUAUAAAUUUUAAAAUUUUUAUAAAUAUUUUGAAUUGAAUUUUUGUUGAGAGAGAGACCGAUCUAUCAUUUUCAAAAUUAAAAAAAAGACCAAACUAUAUUUACAGCAAUUUAUUAUUCGAAUUAUUUAAAUUAUAUAAUUUAACUCAAUUUAAAAUCGAAACUCGAAUAACUAAAUUUAAUUAACCCGAAAUUUAUUUUUUAAAUUUUUUAAAUCAAAUCGAAUUUUGUUCGCCCUACAUCAAUAACUUUGUAUCCAUAUCAAGCUUUUUUUUAAGCUAUAUAUAUUAUUUUAGAGAAUACAUGGUCACCACGGUUCAAUGAUUGAACACCACUCCACUCUCCACUUUUUUUUGUGGUUUAUCCUCUUAAUUUUUUGAGGAUAUCAUUUACUAAAUAAUUUAUUUUUUACAUAAAUUUUAAUAUAUAUUAAUAAUAAAUUAAUUCAAUUGGUAAUAUUUAACUAUUCUCAUGACUCAUUUUUAAUAAAGAAAAUAAUAAAAUUCAAUUAUGAUAAGGAGGUUUUAUUUUUAACAAAAAUUAUUUUUUAUAUUUCUAAGUUUAAAUCUAAAUUUAUACAAGUUAUUCUUUAUUUUAUAUCUAAUUAUUGUAAAACAUAAAUAAUAAUUUUUUUUUUUCCUUUUCAUGCUACCAAACAAUCCAUUAAUCAUUAAUUAUAUUAAAAUCUUUGACUUAUUAAUAUUUAUGGACAGUAAAUCGGAUGCUAAAGAAAUCUUAGUCAAACCAAAAAGAAAGAAGAGAUAGAGGUGGGCAAAGCUGAGGUUCAGCUUUCAUAAACACCUUCAUUUGAAGACACAGUUCUCAUACUCAAACCAAAAGACAUGGAAGUUUUCCUUGUAAUUAGAGAUCUGGUUUCACUGCUUGUUGUUGGGUUAUUAAUGAUAUGGGGAUGGAGGGCUUUAAACUGGGUAUGGUUGACCCCAAAGAGACUCGAAAGGUGCUUGAAACAACAGGGUUUUGCAGGAAAUCCUUAUAGGUUCCUUUCUGGAGACAUCAAAGAGAGCUUCACUAUGAGCAGACAAACAAGAGCCAAACCUAUGCCUGUUAGUGAUGAUAUUGAGGCUUAUGUUGUUCCUUUUCUUCAUCGAACUAUCAACAAUCAUGGUAUGUUCUACAUUAAUCUGCAAUUUCAUCGUGAUAUUCAGAUUUCUUUUUUUAUGUCUGAAGUUUAUUAGGGGAUAUGCAGGAAAUAAUUCAUUUAUGUGGUUUGGUCCAAGACCAAGGGUGACAAUUAUGGACCCUGAAAAAAUAAGAGAAAUAUUUACCAAAUUCAAUGACUUCCAGAAGCCUCAUUCCAAUCCACUGGUUAGAUUCCUUGUAGGUGGCCUUUCCAACCUCGAGGGAGACCAAUGGAGUAAGCAUAGAAAAAUUUUAAACCCUGCAUUUCAUCAAGAUAAGUUGAAGGUAUGUUGUAUUUGCACUUUUUUUCCUCUUUCAAUUCAAUCAUUUUGACUUACCUUAAUCAAUACCUUUAGGAGACUAAUUUUCAUUUCUAAUAUAUUUAUGUACUUCUGGUAUGGAAAUAAUUGCAGAACAUGUUGCCAGCAUUUUAUCAAAGUUGUAAUGAGAUGAUAAGCAAAUGGGAGGAGAUGGUGUCUAAAGAAGGGUACAGUGAGUUAGAUGUGUGGCCUUAUAUCGUAAAUAUGACAAGAGAUGUGAUUUCCCGAGCUGCGUUUGGGAGCAGCUACGAAGAAGGAAGAGGAAUUUUCCAACUAUUAGAGGACCUAACCUCUCUCACAAUCAAAGUUUUUCAAUCUGUUUACAUUCCAGGAUGGAGGUAAACCUGAACUUUAUCUUCGAGUUUUAAGGAAAAUGUUACAGAUGUUGAAAUUCGAAUCUCGGGUGUUUGUUUUCUUGAAGGUUUUUACCCACAAAGACUAACAGGGAGUUGAAGAUGAAACACAAAGACAUAAAAGAAUCGCUUAGGGAAAUGAUAAAGAGAAGAGAGAAGGCAAUUAAAGCAGGGGAAGAGAGCAAUGAGGACUUGUUGGACAUACUUGUGGAAUCCAAUAUCAGAGAAAUGGAAGCAAAGCAUAAGGGGAUGAGCAUUGAGGAUGUGAUUGAGGAAUGCAAGCUGUUUUACUUUGCUGGCCAAGAGACCACUUCGGUCUUACUGGUGUGGACUAUGGUUUUACUAGCAAGAUAUCCUGAUUGGCAGACUAAAGCAAGGGACGAGGUCUUGCAUGUUCUUGGUGACCGUAAACCUGAUGCUGAUGGCCUUAAUCGUCUCAAAGUUGUAAGACCCCUUCUCCUAAAUUCUCUCAUUAUUAUUGCACCGAAUAUAUAAAAUUAAUCAUUUUACUACUCGUUUUUCCAAGUUAACAACUAAAAAACUUGGUUUCUUUGUUUCGCUAAUUCUACAGGUAACAAUGAUAUUGUACGAGGUUCUAAGGCUAUACCCAGCAGUCGUUUCGCUAGCACGCUCCAUUCCAAAAGAAAUAAAACUGGGAAAUUUGUUGUUGCCAGCCGGAACAGAACUUUUGCUUCCAAUCCUGCAGAUCCACCAUGACAAAGAUCAUUGGGGUGACGACGCACAUGAAUUUAGGCCUGAGCGGUUCGCCGAAGGGGUUUCCAAAGCAACAAAGAGCCAAGUCACGUUUCUGCCUUUUGGAUGGGGUCCUAGGAUCUGCAUUGGCCAAAACUUUGCCAUGAUGGAAGCCAAAAUGGCGAUGGCUAUGAUUCUCCAACGAUUCUGGUUCGAGCUUUCCCCUUCCUAUGCACACUCUCCUUGCACCAUGAUAACACUUCGUCCACAGCAUGGUGCACAG
Molecule: long non-coding RNA, 69207 nt
Filed under: Gossypium barbadense (sea-island cotton)
Lineage: Eukaryota; Viridiplantae; Streptophyta; Magnoliopsida; Malvales; Malvaceae
Description: long non-coding RNA (GBAR_LNC013164)
Source: RNAcentral